Molecule: long non-coding RNA, 72470 nt
Filed under: Fragaria vesca (wild strawberry)
Lineage: Eukaryota; Viridiplantae; Streptophyta; Magnoliopsida; Rosales; Rosaceae
Description: long non-coding RNA (FVES_LNC003070)
Source: RNAcentral
GAGUAACAGGUGGAGUUUUAAUCAAAGGAAGGUGUAUUUGAGACCAAGGAAAGAGAAAGAGAAAGAGAGGUGAAAGAGAGGCAUUUACAUGUGAAUGAAAGAGAGGUAUUUGAGACCAAGGUUGUUGGUUUUAUCUUUACGUUUGGAUCAUAUACUUAGAGAGUUAGAGGUCAACGAUUUUUGGGUAUCAUAUUUUUUUUUUUUCCUGGUAAGGUUGCUGUCUCUUUAUGAGCAACGUCUUUCAUUCAUCUAAAAGCAUCUCUUAUUUCUUUAUGUGAUUAUCUCUCCCCCAAUACCUAUCCAAAAUCUUAAAUAAUUCUCUUGCAUGUUCCAUGAAUGGCAAGGUUGUUGGUAUUUACUGCUUAUAAUAUGAAAAUGAGGUAAGCUAAAUUAGCCAAUAUUUGGUGUCAACAGAAAUAGUGAUACAGGUCUAUAGGUUAUUGGGUAAGGUAUAUCGAUCAUCUGCUCUAUAGAUGUGUAUGUCAUACAUACACUAAUAGGAGCAUGUGGCACGUGUCUUGCAGGGGGCUGUGGGUUAUUGUUUAGGAUUGAAAUGCAGGUUGUAUCCCAUACACAUGUAGGAUAGAAUUUUCCUUAUCACCUUGUGAUCUUGUUUCUGCCUUUGCCAAGGACCCAACGGUAUGACUUGUUAACUAAGAGGUUAGCACUUGUUUUAGAAAGAAAAAGAUGGUUUGGUUUAUCAGGUUAGUCACUUAGUCAUUCGUCAAAGGAUGCAACUAGUUCUUUUAUAAAUGUGCUUUGGCAAGUGAGGAGUAAUUACGGACUCGAUCCUUUUACAAGUUGAGAUGUGGUGGACAAAUAUCGGUUUGGUACGUUUCCCGGCCUUUGUUUAAUUAUUAAACUAAGUGAUUACAUUACUAACUACUCACAAAUGAACAAAUAAACAUACAGCCCCCUUCCAUUGAGGGAUCCCUAUUUUUGGCCACUUUCUAGGGAUAGGACAUUACACCACUUCCUAAUUGAAUUUUUACAUCUCCACCGUUCAUAUCUUAGGUCUAUAUGAGUAGAUCACCUCUACAAAAUUUCAUAUGAUUUGGUGAUCGUUAAGGCUUUCAAAAGUUUGAUUUAGUUUUAAUGAUCUUGAACGGUCCAGCUUAUGUCAAACUAAAACCGUUGAAGGUCAUUAAAACUAAAUUGAACUUUUGAAAGUCUUAACGAUCACCAAAUCAUAUGAAAUUUUGUAGAGGUGAUCUACUCAUAUAGACCUAAGAUAUGAAUGGUGGAGAUGUAAAAUUAUAAUCGGGAAGUUGGUGUAAUGCCAUAUCCCUAUAAAUGGCUUAAAAUAAGGAUCCCUCAUUGGAAGGGCCCUGAAUAAACAUAUAUCUCCAGCAUUGAGAUUUAGAAAUUGAUAUAUUUAGCAAGCAAGAAUUUUGAAAUUUAGGUAUCAAUUUAACAAGGUUACUCCAUCAGUCAUUGCUAUUUAUUAUGUGUUAACAAAUAGUAAAAUGACACAUGACAAGAGAUGAGAAAGAAGAUUUAGCUAUUGCUUUAGUUAUGCAUGUAUCAUUGAUAAAUUUGUCAAUUUCAUUUAACAAUUAUCAAAUUUAGCAAUGGUUUAUGUAUUUUAUUGGAGCAUCAAUUUACCUCAAAAAUUGACAAAUUUCACUUUUAGCAACACUUUUAAGUAUCACAACUAAUUGUAUGAGAAUAAAAUUACAAAAGAAACAGUACUCGAACCUGAAAUUUUGCAAGGUUACAAAUACUUAAAUGCAAAAAUUAAAAUACAAAAAGUAACUCAAAAUUGCUUCUUACUCUUCAAUAGAUAAUCUAGAAUAAUGAAAUUUACAUAUCCUCAAUUACAAUCCACAUACACUGACCCAUUUUUAAUUGUAGAAUUGUCAAAAAUGUCCAUUACACGGACAAUUUUAAGAGAAAAAAACAGGGACAUUUUAUAGUAAAAAGUGUCAUGGUGUGUGCAAUGAUUGUGAUUAAGGGUGCAAAUUUCAUUUUCCAUAAUCUAUUAUCUCACACUGUUUCAAAAUGGCUCUACAGUUUAGAGAGAGAACUAACCAUCUUAGGAUUAAAUCUAGACAAGGUUUGGCUAUUAUAGGCUAGCUAAUAACACCACCAAACAACAUUAAAAAGCCAAAAAAAAAAACAAAAAACCUCAGUGAUUUGCACUAAAGUAGCUCACGCAAUUCUUGUAGUAUGUUAAUUAUCUACGUCUGUGCUCUCAAAGACGUCAAACCAUAAUCUGGUGGGACUCUUUGUUGCAAGAAUGAGGAUUUAACAAGUACCUUUAAUACCUUUAAAUCAACAGUUGCGUAACUUUUGAACCAAUAUUCAUCUAACCGUUUAUUUAAAAAUAGAAUUAGGUAUCGGAACAGUUUGGGUCUUAGCAAAAAUUUUCAGGCCCAAAUUCCAUUUCGAUGUAAAUUAAGCCUAAGCCCACCACGUUAUUAAACCAGCUCACUUUCCUCAACUCCUCCCAGCUUAGAACCAAGUCAUUCCCCUCUGUCAAAUCCUUCACCAGCCACCAUGGCUGUCCUCGCAACCACAUGGACGGCGGCGAUCUUCCUCAUCUUCACAACGCUGCGUUUAAUCGAAUGCGGCGACAACAACCGCGUCUACUCGCCGUGCUCCGACACCAAGGUCGCCAGGUCCGACGGCUUCAGCUUCGGGAUCGCCUUCGCGUCCAAGGACGUCUUUCUCCGUAACGGCGCUAACUCCACCUCGCAGUUGUCUCCCUGCGACACCAGGCUCUCUCUCUCCAGCGCCAACUCUCAGAUCGCCGUUUUCCGGCCUAAGGUCGACGAGAUCUCCCUCCUCUCCGUCAACUCCUCCUCUUUCGCUCCGGUUCGUUCUCUCUGUCUCUUCUGUUCCAUUUCGUUUUAGUGCUCCUUUGAAUUUGUGAAUUGCUUAGGGUUUUGAUGGGUUUAGGGUUGAUGUGGAUUUUUAGGUUGAGAAUUGCAAAAUGUUAGUAUCAGUUUUGAAUGUUUAGCAAGAUUUAGACUUGAAUGUAAUGAAAGUAUCAAAUUUUAGUUAUGUUUGUGAAGAUUUUAGUGGAAUGUGAGGCUAGUUUUGAAUUCAACCAAUUUAUUGUGGUUUUCGGGUUUGAAUUUGCAGGAUAAUUAUGGUGGAUAUAUGGUUGCUUUUGCUGGGCAUAAGUAUGCUGCAAGGUCUACUGCGGCUUUUGUUGCCAAUUCGACCUACACUGUCACCAGCUUUACUCUGGUAAGUAAGGACAUUACAAUUGGAAUUAAAGAUUUGAAUUUGAUAAUGUCGUUUGUGGUUUGUGGUUUAGAUUAUUUAGUGAAUGUGUUUUUAUAUAUAUGCAGGUGCUUGAGUUCACCAAGGGCAGGCUGCAGAACCUGUACUGGAAAAGAGAUGGGUGCGCCAAAUGUUCAGGGAACUCCAGCUUUGUUUGCCUCAACAACCAGGACUGUGCAAUCAAGACUAACAGCUGCAAGUCCCACGGAGGCACUGUUGAUUGCAGCCUCGGGAUCCAAUUGGCGUUUUCAGGGACGGAUAAGCACCUUUCAGUUCUGAACUCAUGGUAUGAAGUACAGAACCUUGGUCAGUAUUCCCUUUAUGGUCUCUAUUCAAAUUUGAAGGAUUCUCUCACUAGCCAGUAUAACAAGUUUUUCUGAUGUAAAACUGUUACUGUCAUAUUCGUGUAAUUUUUUCACUACCCACUCACUAGGUUUGAUUGUUCACUUUCGGUGUGUUUUGUUUGUAUGCCGUUGUAAAGUAAAUUAACUUUGAGGAUCAUUGUGAUUAGAGGAAAGAGAGAUGAUUUCGGUUAAGUUUGUUUGUGAAACUCAACUUUUUCUUUGUUGGUUGAAUAUCCAUUACUGCUUGCAGCUUUAGGAUUAUUGCUUGUUAGCAUAUAGGAUUUAAGUGACUUCUAGAGUUUCUUGGGACCUAAAACAACAUAUGUGCUCAGCGCCGAUUUUUCAGUGUUACAAAUUAACAGUACUGGGUUCUGCUGAAACUGUAGUGAUAUCUGAGUGUUUGGUUGUUUCUUUGACAAAGAUAAUGAGAUCCGAAUUCCCAAUAUCAUUUCUCAAACUUCGGAAGAAUCAAUUUUCCUGUUUUGGGUUAUGCACUCUCACAUGCCCUCGCAUGUAACAUGACUCGAGUCAAAUUUGUGUACACCUAAACAUUGUUGAGUGGACUUGAGAGCAUCCUACUUCAAUAUUAAUUGGCCAUUGGUGGGACGAAGGUAUAUAAAUGAAACAUUCAGCUGUUCCUGCCAUUCCGGCAACCACCUUUGAGAUUGUGGCCACCUGAAAUUUCUUAGGUAAAGAGGAUCCUGGGUUUGUGCUCAAUAAGGGUACUCUCAGAUUGGACGUCCUGAAGAAGUCCACGAUGUCUUAUGAGUUUUGAUAAGUAGCCACGAUGAGUGUGCUCGGGGUAUGUUCACAACUGUCACCUCUGUCUCUAGGAAAAGAGCUGCACUCUUUUGCGUGCAAAGGUUGCCUCACAGAAGGCCUGUUUGUUGCUUGUAUCAGUUGUAUGUAGGCAUGAUUCGUGAAGUGGUCGCAUAGAACAAUAUCAGUGUGGUAUAAGACUAUGAGCCUGAAAAGGCAGUGAAUUAUGUUCUGCUUUCAUACUUGUAUGCUGCAUCUGGGAAUUGGAAUGCUGUCAUUGCUGUGAUAUGUGUGGAAAAUCAAGUAAACUUGGAUGUGCACCUAUAACCUAACACUCUUAAACUGGGGAAAGUAUAGAUUAAAAUAUUGAGGAAGCAUAGUGAAAGGCUUGCAAUCAUCGAUUAUCAUAAAUUAAGAGUGGUGAAUCACUGGGAGUGCAUAAAUCUGCGCAUUUGCGUAAAUUAUCACUAUCCAGCUAAAUUUAACUCGGGAAUAUUGAAUGGGAGAUAAAUGUCAGAGACAACAAACACUUCCCAUCAUUUCAAAGAUGGCUUAUGUUUCUGUGGAGGUUGUUGCUAAAGGUCAGUGUAGAAGUUCCAAGAGCAUAUCAUGUGAAAGAGAUCGAAGCUGCAGAAAUGAUUGCCUCCGCUUACUAACAUUUCAGUACUUAAUGUAAGUAGCAUCCAAAAAUAAUUACUUCCUUGUAUGAAAUUGUAGCAUGUUGCACAACACAUGUUUGUUACCAUUCAGUUAUUCUGAAUUCUUUCUCUACCUUAAUUCAGAUCACAUAAUAGUUAGAGAGACAAUCAGACAAAGUAGAUAGAAACAGCAGUGAUGAAGUAGUGCUUUGGAAAAUGAAUAUGAGGAUCUGAGUGGAAUCUAGAAAGCAACACAUAAUUGUGCUUGAAACACUUCUUUUCGUAGUCCAUUUUUAAUUUCUUUAUAUCUUUUGGUGGUGUUCAGCUCAAUAUCAAAUUUUGAUCACAGAGGUAAUUACAACAACAUUAAAAGGAAAUGAAAUUGUAAUACAUACUAAGAAGAGAUCGGAAUGUUGGAGUACCUGAGAUAUUUCUGGAUAGCUGGAGUUGAUGCAUAUACUUAUGAAGCAGAAAGAAGGGAUUACAAGCAAGAGUGCAAGCGCCUAAUCGAUAAAAACUGCGUGCGAGUAAACUCGGAUAAUUAGAGAACCUUAUCAGUGGCUGAUGAUGAAAAAACUCCACUAUUAUAUUUGCCCAAUCUAAGUUGCAAUGCACAACUGGUUGCCUGGUUGGAGAUCACCACCAAAGUGAGCUUGCCUUGGCAAUGUUGCCAGGAGAAAGAAAAAAAAUUACUCAAUUGACGCUUUUAAAUAGUUGAAGACGUACCAGUUGAUGAAUGAUGGCUACUCAUUGACUCAACUGUUACAGUUUAGGAUAUAUGCAUACCUUUAACAGCAUCAAUUCUACUCUCUUACCAGAAUAUAGUUACUUCAUCACUACUUUUUAACUUGCCUUAAGUUGUGAACUGGAUUCUUUAUGCUGUUAACAGAAGCUGAACAUGUUAAUUAGUUCCUCUUUGUCUAGAUAGGUGAACUGGCCAAACCAGCAUCCAACUUAUACUAUUAAUUACAGUCGAAACCUUUGCUAACAUAUCAAAUGGGAAGCAUCUGGUAAAGUAGAGAUGAUCGAUUGACGUAUAUAUGAUUGUUCCUUUAGAUUUUCCAGGACCUAUAUUUAGGGUACUUUACAUAACUAAACAUAUGCUGUUGCAUGUUCACAAAUUACAGCAGCAAAUGGACCCAACAUUAUAGAAUCAUACCCGAUCGAUCAACAUCUUAAUUUAACGCAUACAAAUGAGUUCAUAAACUAGGUUAUAUUUAUCUCUUAAAAACUUAGAAUCAUGUAUCUGUGACUGUAUACGAGAAAGAAAGAAAAGGAAAAAAGCAGACCGUAUCUGUAUAAGUCUAUAACACAUAUAUUAACACUCAUGAAGCAGUUGAAGCUUGGCUCUAAGUCGAUUUGGGCGUCGGUGGUGGCAUUUCUACAUUUCGCUGCAGAGGGGAUAUCAGAUCUGAAAGGAUGACUUGAAGUGACGAAACUCUUUCUUUCAGUUGAGCGUUCUCCUGGAGAACAUGUUGAUUUCCCUCCAACAGUUGAAUGAGCUUCUCGGAGAGCUGACGAUUUGUGAUGUGAAGCUGGUCCACCUGAUGCUGCAGCUCUUCAAUCUGCUUCUUUUUCCGCAUUCGUGACCUUCGUGCAGAUUCCCUGUUGGAAAUCAUUCUCUUGAUCCUUUUCUCAUAGGUAAGGCCUUGCUCUCCGGCAGCAGUUGCUUCAUCAAAAACAGUGUCAUUGUUAAGAGAAGAGCCGUUCGACGAAAAAUCAUGGAUAUGAGACAUGGAGAAAAUCCGAGUUGGGUAAAAUGGUAUGGAAUCUGGAUUCUGAGUAUGGUUUUGAAGGGAUAGUAGUGAAUGGUUCUCCACAACUUCAACUGCCUGCAUAUUGUGGGGACUUGAGUAAAGAUGGGAUUGUUUAGUACUGGGGAGAAGUUGAGGUAAGUAAUGGUUUCCCUUUGAUUCAUUUAUAUCCAUGAAAGAACUUUGAGGGAAAGAGAAAAAGAGAGAAAUCUUAGAUGGGGUUUUAGGGAAAGAACCAGACUGAUGAUAAAUGUUUUGGAGAAGAUAGCAACUAUAUACAUACAUUUCUUGACCUACACGGUACUGAGAGAGUUUAACUGUAAUUGUGAUUUAUUGAUGCAAGGACGUAUUCAAUCGGCUUUUUGUUUUUCACCAAAAUCCUCAAAAAUAUUUGAAGGCAAUACCUAGAAUACCUAGAUAUAUGUUCAUUCUAGGAUAUUACGUGCAAUUGUGAAAUGACUUUGUGUAGGUGAUAUCAUUCAUUUUCAUUCUGGGAUGGCUUAUUUAGAUUACUUACUUGGAACGUCUCUAGUAAUGGUGCUUAUCAUACAAUCUAGGAUUUUCUAUAAAUGUAGGGAAAGGAAUUCAUGGAGAAUAUGAUAAGGUUGCUCUUGAAACUACUGAAAGACUUCAAAUUAAGGUAUUUUGUGUGCUAAUGGUUCAUACCUAUGUGAAAAUGUGAAUCAAGUAUGGAGCUCUAUACAUAAAAAGCAAGUCUUCUUUUGGGGAAGGCGAGAAAACAGGUUAGGAUUAUACCAUGUCAAGAUUUAAUCCGUUUUCGAUGUAUUCAAAAAUAGCAAGUCUAGUGCUUUUGAGACACAAAUGAGUUUUGUUCUUUGGUUUUUCCAUGAACCAAUUCAAGCAACUGAAGCAAGAGUGCAUGAUGUUAUUAAGAAGAAACAAACAAAAUUUUUCCAGAAAAACAAAAAAGAAUUGAAGAAGAAAACAUAAUUCAUGGGCAUCAUCUUCUUCAUUUUGCUAAAAUUGUUACAUAAACAUAAAAUUUUAUAUGACUUUUGGUAGUUGGCUUCAGAAUUUUGUCCAAUGUUUUGACCAACAUUAAACAAUAAGCAUCACCUGGUAUGCUUUUAUGGUUUUUACUAAAAUUGCUCCAAAGAAGAUAUAUACAGAUCGAAGGAAUAUGCAAUAAGUGGAUAAAUUCACAUGAGUAUGUUCUCCUUAAAGUUUUAUCUGUGGAAACUUUAUGUUGAAUAACUUGCGAGGUAAGAAGUGUAUUUUACUUUAAUACCAAUAUUAUCAUAUUUGUAAAACAUUUCCAAUAUUGGCAUUGACAUUGACACAGAUGAAGGAAAUUUUCCUCUGUGAGUGUGAAAUAAACACAGAGCAUUUGAAGAUCGAAUAGAACACUGAUGCAGACUCAACGUAAAAUUUCGAUGUGAACAACAUACGUACUCGUUCAAUUCAUGAUUAUCAUUAUUAUCAUCUUAAUCUCUGCCAGGUUAAUUGUGUGUCAAACAAUAUGUUGCUUUAUGAAGUCAUCUCACAAGUUAUAGAUCAAAAUCAUCAAACAUUCUUCAAAAUGUUGCCACUUUAUUGCCUUUUAUGUAUGUUAGAAUCUGUACAAUUUUCAACCCACAUAAUGCAUACCUUACCCAGAAGAAAAACCAUGUAGUACAGAAAGUCAGAAACCAUCAAGAAUAUCAACAAAGGGAAGAUAUAACGUACAAACAGAACAACAAACUGUACAUACGAAACAAAGUAGGCAUCAGGAAUUGAGCUCGGCUAUUCCGCGAAACAAAGUAGGCAUCUCAUAACCGAGUUCUCUUUCCGCGAACUAUUCAUGCUUGCAACGCGUAAUUUAUGAGAUUGAUGCCGAGAGCGAAACCAGCAGCAUUCCCUCCCACAACGCCACCAUCAUUGUUCAUUUUUUCUUAUUAGCAAGAAGCAACAGUACUAUUUGGGAAACCCUAGCCCUAUACUGACUCGGGUGGGCUACUGAGGCAGUUAGGAUUAAGAUUUUUUAACUAAUUCGUGGAUUUCGAUCUUCGGCUAGAAUUCUGGUUUGAAUUAAUCCUUGGGUGUGCGGUGUACCUUAAAUGCAGAAUGAUCGAGGCCGCAUGGGCAAAGGAGGAACAAUGACAUCAUUGUUCAACCGAGGAAAAGUGUGACUAAGAUUCCAAUAAAUGAUUUCUUCCAGCGUCGUGGUACAAGUCUUUGAUAUGUGUGAAGAACUUUUUUCUCCUCCCUUGAUUCCUCUUCUAAGUUGUUGUGGCACACUGGCACAUAACCGAUUGCAACUCACUUAUUUGGUGAUUAAGGUAAGAGCUGAAUAAGAGAAAGUUUAAGGCCAGUGGCUUUUCUGGUCAAACCAAUUUCUAGUUUAAUUACUUCGAUUGUGUUCGUUUUGUAUGUUUUUUUUUUUCAAUGUAAGCGGAGAUAGUUCUAUUGAUCAAAGAUCAUGACGACAAAAGGAGUCAAGUAUGAAUAGUUCGAAAACCAUACAAACUCAAACCAAAAAUAAAUAAAUCAAACUACAUUUAAGAAUUGAAAUAACUACCUCAAAACUACAUCAAAAAAAGGAUACGAAAACUAGAAAGCAAAUGAACUUAUAAACCCAAAAAACAUCUCAACUUUUAAAGAUUAAGGUCUAAGACCCAAUGGUGUGCCUUCAACUAUUGGGAAGAAAGAGAGAAAUUUCCUAGCUGCAGGGUGUAAAUGGGCCGAGUCGAGUCGAAUACUAAGAUGUUCAUGUUCGGCUUUUUUGCUUUUUAUCAAGUUCGAACCGGGCUAAAGCUUGAACUUUUUUUUUUGUCAUGUUCAAGCUCGAUCAGCUCGGCUUGAAUAUUUUUCUUUAAGCCCGAGCUGGGCUCGGCUCGGCUCAAUAUAUUAGACGAGCUCGAGCUCAAUCUUAAGUCAGGUCGGCUUGCUCAUUUGACUUUAAAUUUAAAAAUAUAAAAAGGAAGAAAGAAAAUUUAUAAUAAUCCAAAUUUGAUGUCUAACGAAAUAGCAAAUCCUUCAAAAUGGCUAAUCAAACUCAAAGUUAAUUUUUUUAUAAUAAUCCAAAUUUGAUGUCUAACGAAAUAGCAAAUCCUUCAAAAUGGCUAAUCAAACUCAAAGCUAAAAUUUGAACUAAUUAUAUAAGAAGGGUAAACAAACUGACAGAGAAUAAUACUUUGGUAAAUGUCAAGGCUUGAUUAUUCAGCCUGACUAUCGUGUGUUUAUAUAUUGAACAGUACGUACAAGAUAAAGAUCUCAUGUACAAGAGAUAAAUACAACUCUAUGAGAAGCUAAUCUAAAUAGUUACAAGAGAUGUAUCUGAUAAAGGAGAUUAUUUUCUAAUCAUAUCCACACUUGGAGAGUCCUCAUCUACUGUUGUAGAUAGCCUCGUAUUCAAUUCUGUUACUUUUGGUUUAUCACUCCCCUGCAAGCUGAGUGAUCUUAGAAGAACAGGAAGCUUGGAAACCAGAAAAUGAAAACGUGAUGAAGACAAUCCCUUAGUGAAGAUAUCUGCAAUCUGAUCAGUAGUAGAGAUAAACCAAACUUCCAGCUCUUUGUUAACUACUUUCUCUCUGACAUAAUAAUAAUCAACCUCCACAUACUUUGUUCUAGCAUGAAAAACCGGAUUUGACGCAAUGGCAAUUGCUGAUAGGUUAUCACACCAAAUCCGUGGACAUUGCAAGAAUAGGCUGAGAUCACAAAACAUGGACCUUAACCACGAAAUCUCAGCUGCAGUAAAAGCAAGUUGGCGGUAUUCUGCUUCAGCACUGGAACGAGACACAGUACGAUGGGUUUUGGAGCUCCAUGAAAUCAAGUUAGGUCCGAGAUACACACAGUAGCCUCCUUGACGAUUGUCAGGAUCACCUGCAUAAUCUGCAUCGGAAUAUGCACUUAUAAAGAGAGAGCCAGGCUGGUACUUAAGGCCAUGAUUAAGAGAGAACUUUAAAUAGCGCAAAAUGCGUUUAACAGCUAUCCAAUGUAUGGUGGUGGGAGAAUGCAUAAACUUGCAAACUUGGUUGACAGAAUAAGAAAUGUCUGGGCGUGUAAGGGUGAGAUAUUGUAGGGCGCCAACAACACUUCUAUACUCAGUUGUAUCAAAGAGUUUCUUGCCUGAAUGAAGACUGAGCUUUUGACCAGUAGCAGCUGGUGUAGCACAUGGAUUGGCAUCAAGCAUUUUUGUCCGAGUCAGAAGAUCAACAAUGUACUUUUUCUGAGUAAGAUAAAGAGAGGGACCAUCGUAGGUAGCCUCAAUGCCAAGAAAGUAAUGCAUGCGACCCAGGUCCUUCAUUGAGAACAUUUUUCCCAACUCAGAAAUAAGCUGAAACAAGUGAUGGCUGCUGUUGCCUGUAAUUAAUAUAUCAUCCACAUAAAUUAGAAGAAUCAGAAAAACACCAUUGUUGGCAUAUGUGAACAUGGAAUAGUCGGAGAGUGACUCUUGAAACCCAAGACCUUCUAAGUAGUCAGCAAAACAUUGGAACCAAGCUCUUGGCGCUUGUUUGAGACCAUAAAGAGUGCGUUUCAAUCUGCAAACAUGAUGUGGAAAUUCAGAGUUAGCAAAGCCAGUAGGUUGCUUCAUGUAGACCUCUUCUGUCAAGUGUCCAUGUAAGAAUGAAUGGUUAAUGGUAUUAAGUGUGCACGAACGUGAAGAGACAUGGGAUGGUGAUUGUGAAUUAGAUGAAGUAGAAUGAAUGGUUUGUGAGGGGGGAACAUGAAUAGUGUGUGAAGGUGAAGGUAUAUCAUGUAAUGUAAAGAAAUAUAAAGAAGAAGAAGAAGACAUACCUAUUGGGGAAGUGAGAAUAGCCUGUUGGAAAGGAAAAGUGUUUUCAUCAAACAAAACGUGUUUAGAGAGAUAUACUCGUUGCGUUUUUAAAUCUAGACACCGAUAGCCGAGGUGAUUCAGUGAGUAACCUAGAAACACACAUUGUUUUGAUCUUGGCUGAAGUUUAGAAUUAUUAUAAGGACGAAGGUAAGGAUAACAAGCACACCCAAAAGUGCGAAGGAAAGAGUAAUUCGGUUCUUUGUGAAAGAGAUAUUUGUAUGGAGUUUGGUUUUUAAGAAUAGGCGAAGGGAGUCUGUUGAUGAUGUAGACGGUAGUAUUGCAGGCCUCGACCCAGUAAGAUGGAGGCAUAUAAGCAUGAACAAGUAGUGUGAGAGCAGUGUCAACAAUAUGUCUAUGUUUUCUUUCGGCUAGGCUGUUCUGUUCGGGAUGUUUGGGGUAAGAGAAACGAUGAUGAAUACCAUUGAGGUUGAGGUAAUCCCUAAAGGCAUGAGAAGUAUAUUCACCUCCUUCAUCACUUUGAAAUUGUUUAAUUUGACAAGAGAAUUGUUUUUCAACAUAGAUGCAGAAUUGGAUAAAAAUUUGGAGAACUUCACUGUUUCGUUUCAUGGGAAAGAUCCAAGAAUAUCUAGAGUAAUCAUCCACAAACAAAACAUAAUACUUAUAACCUUGAACAUAAAGAGUUGAGCAAGACCAAACAUCUGAAUGAAUCAAAUGCAAUGGUUUAUUGGAAACAGAAUCAGAGAGUACAAAAGGUGACUUCGUACUUUUUCCUAACGGACAAGAAUGACAAAAGGAGACUGAACUACGGCCGGCUAAUGGCACAGCUUUAUUAGACAAAACCUUAGAUAAAGUUCGAAAAGCAGUAUAUCCUAGUCGAGAAUGCCAAAUUUGGGCAGAUACCCUUGCACCUACAAAUGCAAAGUGCUUGUGAUCAAGACCAUCAUGUUGGAAUAAACGCAAAGGAUAAAGGUCGUUCUCACUUGGUCCUCUAAAGAGGAUCUUCCCCGUCUGGAUGUCCUUGAUAAUGAAACAAUCAGGAUAUAUUAGAAGAUAGCAAUUGUUGUCAGAAGUGAAGCGAUAGAUAGAGAGUAAAUUGGUAGAGGCAGAGGGACAAUGUAAUACAUUUUGUAAUGUAAAGGUGUGAUUUUUAGAAGAUAAAGUAGUGGAUCCAAUGUGUGAAACAGAUAAAGGUGUUGAAUUCACUACAAAAAAGAAUUUGGUUAGCCACGGCAAAAAGCCGUCACCAAAAGCCACUUUGCCGUCGCGAAAGAGCAACGACGACGGCUUCGUGACGACAUUUUUGCUAUCGCCGUUGAGGGCGUGGCCGUUGUUUUUGGCUACGGUAAUGAGCCGUUGCCACCUUUUUUGCGACAGCAGGCAGCGACUGCAAAAGCCGUCCCUUAUUUGGCGACGGCAAACUUGCCGUGGCAAAUUAUAUUUAUGAAUUAAAAAAAAAUCUGGCAAGCAUAUUAGCUUGCCAAAUUUUAUUUAUUUUUAGAUAACCUGUACAAAAAAAAAUUAAAGAUACUGAAAAGAAUUGUUACAUUCAAUUAAAAUCCUCAAAUGUCACUAUUACAACAUAAGAACUAUCAAUAUAACGACAUCAAGCAGUAAUUUACAAGUGUUUCUACUAAAUAGUUUUGACACAAGCACAAAACCAACUAAGUGCAACUAUGUCAAAGUGACGCAACAGGAGUAUGGAGAGCUAACCAGCGUUAAACCCUAAUAAUUGGAGAGCCUUCAAGCGAAGAACUCUAUAGGACCAAAACCUGGAGCACGCCAGAGACUAAGAGAAAACUCUUAAGUUUCUGAAUUAUAAUUGAUAAACUGAAUGUCAGCUACCCAUAAGGGUGCAUAUAUAUGAUAAACAAAACCCUAGGGCGACUAACAACCAAACCUAAAAGCCCCAGGAUUGAAUUAAAACAGAAUCCGAAAAUAACUAGGAAACAUAAAAAUCCUCGAAAACUAAUAAAAUGCUGAUUUGAGGUCUAAAACAAACUCGGAUGGCCGAAAAAGCCCAUACAUCGUGGCAAAGCGACGAGUCUUGUUCGUUGGGCCGUUCCGCUUUCAGAAAGGUAUAAUAAUAGUCAUUCGGACACCGAACGCCAAAUCUGCAGCAAACGGGGUUUGGACCUGCAACGAUCGAUCUGUUCCUCAAUUUCUUCUGCCAUCCGUCCUACAUCAGUCUCCUCCACCUCCGAAGAACUCGACCCCGAGUUCUCAAUAGGAUAAAGAGCCUCAUCCGCAUGAUACUCAUAAAUAUCAGCCACAUUAAAGGUAUUGGAAAUGGCCAUAGAAUCCGGAAGUGCAACAACAUAAGCAUUGACAUUGAUCUUUCGUAUUACCUUGAAAGGACCAUACUUCUUGGGUUGUAGCUUAUUGUAGGUACCAACAGGAAACCUUUCCUUCCGCAAAAACACCAUAACGUCAUCACCUUCCUUGAACAACUUAAGCCGGCGAUGUUUAUCAACUGCAACCUUAUUCUUUGCAUUAGUGGCCUCCAAUUUAGCUCUAACGGACUCACGAAUUUCCUGCACUUCCUUGGCCAUAUUUUCAGCAGCAACACUAACGCCAUGCCCCCUGGGCAGCUUGACUAAAUCCACCACAUGUUUUGGAACAGUAGUAUACACCAAUGAAAAAGGUGAUUUUCCAGUAGCACUAUGCAUAACACUAUUGUAAGCAAACUCCACAUGCGGCAAAGCAUUAUCCCAACUCUUCGGUUUGUCUCCACACACACUCCUGACCAUAUUACCCAGGGUUCUAUUGGUAACCUCAGUUUGCCCAUCAGUCUGAGGAUGCGCAGUGCUACUCUUGUUCAAAGCUGUCCCAAACAUCCGCCACAAAGUGACCCAGAAAUGACUAAGGAAUUUCGAAUCCCUGUCAGAAGUGAUAGAUCAUGGUACCCCAUGCAGACGCACAACCUUCUUGAAAAACAGCUUGGCUAUGUGGGUAGCAUCCGAGAUCUUCUUACAAGCAAUGAAGUGCAUCAUCUUAGAAAACCUGUCAACAACCACAAAUACAGAAUCCACUCCCCUCUGUGUACGAGGCAAACCCAGCACAAAAUCCAUUGAAAGAUCCUACCGAAUGUCUUCAAGAACAGGUAAAGGUGUAAAAAGACCAGUAUUUUGAGACUGACCUUUAGAAACCUGACAAACAUAACACUUCCGGACAAUUUCCGUGGCAUCUCUCCUCAAAUGGGGCCAAAAAUACCGCUCCUCCAAGCUGGCAAUAGUUUUAUCUCGGCCUAAAUGCCCACUCAAAUCCCCACCAUGCAAGUCUCGGAUCAACAUCUCCCUCAAUGAAGAAAUUGGAACACAAAGCUGAUUACCCUUGAACAAAUAACCAUCACUAAUGUAAUAGUCCGCAACUGUAUGAUUGCCACUGCAUUUGGCCCAAAUUUCCUUGAAGUCAACAUCCUCUGCAUACAAAUUCUUGAGCAUGUCGAAACCCACUAUCUCCUGUGACAAAGUCACCAUCAAGGAUGCUCUUCUACUCAAAGCAUCUGCCACCCUGUUUUGGGCACCAGAUUUAUGUUGAAUCACAAAAGGGAAGCUUUGCAGAUAACUCACCCACCGAGCAUGCAUGUUGAAUACAUUUUUCUAACUGUUAAGGAACUUCAAGGCUUGAUGGUCCGUAUACAAGACAAACUCCCUCUGAACAAGGUAAUAUUCCCACUGUUUUAACGCCCGGAAGACCGCAUAGAACUCCUGGUCGUAAGUACUCCACUUCUGGUGAGCUUCGCUAAGCUUUUCACUGAAGAAAGCUACUGGCCUCUUCAAUUGGGACAACACAGCACCAACCCCCACUCCACUAGCAUCACACUCCACCUCAAAUAUCUUAUCAAAGUUAGGCAGUGCCAGGACAGGUGCAGAGCAAAGCUUCUCCUUUAUCAAAGCAAAACUCUGUUCUUGUGCCUCUCCCCAGUGAAACUUCCCUUUCUUCAAACAUUCAGUAAUGGGAGCAGUAAUGGUGCUAAAAUGUCGAACAAAUCUUCUGUAGAACGUAGCCAAACCAUGAAAACUACGUACCUCAGAAACUGUCUUUGGGGCUGGCCAGUCUUGUAUGGCACGAAUCUUCUCCUCAUCCACCUGAAUUCCAUCCUCUCCUACCACAAAUCCCAAAAACAGAAGCUUGUUGGUACAGAAAGUACAUUUUUUCAGGUUAAUGUACAGCCUGCAAAACGCUCAAAACCUGGUGCAAAUGUUGCAAGUGAUCUUCUUUUGUUUUGCUAUACACCAGAAUGUCAUCAAAAUAGACCACCACACAAACACCAAGAAGACGACGAAGAACCUGUGUUAUAGUUCUCAUGAAGGUGCUAGGUGCAUUAGAUAAUCCGAAAGGCAUUACCAUCCGCUCAAAAAGACCAUCCUUGCUCUUGAACGCCGUCUUCCACUCAUCCCCUGGUUUAAUUCGAAUCUGAUGGUAACCACUGCGAAGAUCUAUUUUGAAAACACCAUAGAACCUGCCAACUCAUCAAGCAUAUCUUCCAAACGAGGAAUAGGAAAUCAAUACUUGAUGGUUAUUUUGUUGAUGGCUCUACUGUCCACACACAUCCGCCAUUGGUUGCCCUUCUUAGGAACAAGAAGGACUGGACUUGCACAAGGGCUCAUGCUCUCACGAAUAAACCCCUUCUUCAGCAAGUCCUCAAUCUGCUCCCUCAAGAUCUUAUUCUCUUUAGGACUCAUACGGUAAUGGGGAAGAUUUGGUAAACUGGCACCUGGAAUAAAAUCAAUCUGGUGUUGGAUGUCUCGCAUGGGUGGUAGCUCAUUAGGUAGCUCAUCAGCAAUCAACUCCUCAAAUCUCUUAAGCAAUUGUUGUACCUCUUCGGGGAUCUCCACAGGUUCUUUCUCUGCACUAAACAACCCCUUAAUCACCACAGGACAACACAACUCUGACUCUUUAAAGUCUUCCUCUAUCUCCCGCUCAUUCUUGGACAAGAUUAGAAAGUUCUCCCUCUUCUUUUCUAUAGGUUUGUCAAAGGUCACCACAGGAGCCAUAGCAAUCUUAAACUCACCCCACAUAAACAACAUCACAUUAUCCCGACCCCUGUAAGUAACAUCAACAUCAUACUGCCAAGGACGCCCAAACAGAAUAUGACAAGCAUCCAUGUCCAGAACAUCACAAACUACUUCAUCCCUAUAAUGCUUACCAAUCGAAACAUGCACUUUGUAGGUUCUGGUUACGCGCACUUGAGGACCCUUCUUCACCCAACCUAGAGAAUAGGGCAUCACAUGGGCCUCUGUUGGUAACUUCAAAUACUCUACCAACUUUUCAGCAACAAAGUUUUCGCAACUCCCAUUAUCCACAAUCAGAUUACACACCUUGUUGUUGAUAGAGCAAUGCGAUUUGAAAAGGUUCCUACGUUGACCGUCUUCCUUCCUGGGAGACAACAGAAUUCUCUGCAAUACAAUGUUUACCUUUUCUGGAGAAUUUUCCACUGCAAAUUUAGCCCCUUCAUAGUCAUCGCCUCCUUCCUCCGUCUCGUCUUUCUCACAGGCCUCGACUAAAGGCUAAACUGCUUUAAUCACCUUCGGAGGUGCAGUACACUCGUUGGAUCUAUGGCCAGGCUGUAAACACUUAUAAUAAGUUCCUGGAAAAGGCCUUGUAUAAGGGUUAAAAGGUCGCUGCGCAGGUGCUGCCCGAGUUGCCCUGCUAGUAUUGCCAAAACCAGAAACGCCACCCUCUUUGUUAAUAGCAUUAGAUACGCAGCAGGAGUAUGGAGGGCUAACCAGCGUUAAACCCUAAUAAUUGGAGAGCCUUCAAGCGAAGAACUCUAUAGGACCAAAACCUGGAGCGCGCUAGGGACUAAGAGAAAACUCUUAAGUUUCUGAAUUAUAAUUGAUAAACUGAAUGUCAGCUACCCAUAAGGGUGCUUAUAUAUGAGAAACAAAACCCUAGGGUGACUAACAACCAAACCUAAAAGCCCCAGGAUUGAAUUAAAACAGAAUCCGAAAAUAACUAGGAAACAUAAAAAUCCCGAAAACUAAUAAAACGCUGAUUUGAGGUCUAAAACAAACUCGGAUGGCCGAAAAAGCCCAUACAUCGUGGCAAAGCGACGAGUCUUGUUCGUUGGGUCGUUCCGCGUCCAGAAAGGUUAAUAGUCAUUCGGACACCAAACGCCAAAUCUGCAGCAAACCGGGUUUGGACCUGCAACGAUCGAUCUGUUCCUCAAUUUCUUCUACCAUCCGUCCUACAUCACAAAGCCUCCAGAACCGAAGUUUCAAUUGUAAAUCGUGGUAAAUCAGAAUCAAAAUAAAGUAGCAUGCACGUCAUAUGACAACGCUAUAAGAAUCAAAAUAAAUCAUACUUGUUGUAUUUGUCCAAUUCCAUCUUGUAAGCCUCCAUGGCUUCAGCUGGUCAUUCCACAACUUCCUCUCUUCCUCACUCAAUUCCUAUACCCAACAACAACACAAUAAUUAGUCUCUAGUUCAGUCAAUGAAAGAGGACAUUGACUUGAAAAACCAAUUGAAACAAAGAGUGUACAUUCCACUUAACUAAAAUAAGAACAGUAACGGUGGAGUUAAUGAUUCCUUGUCUCUCUAGUCAGUGUACCAUCCACCACUGAGUUGAAGACUAGAAAAAAAAAGGAAAAAAAACAUAACAGAUGCAAUUAGCAGGGUAACAAAACUAAAAACCAACGGGUAUAAAAAAGAUCUUAGUCUGAUUAAGUGAUAGAAGAAAAGUUGGAAAAGAGAUUAUAGAAUACUCAAAAGAAUCAGGUAAGAGAAAGAAAGAGAGAUGAAUACGUUUGAUUUGAUAAAAAGCAAAUGUUGUCCAAUAAGUGAUGUCAUGUAAUUGUUGCAGGAAUUGGGCAUACUGCUUUUCUGAGAUAUAUCGGAUAUUUUCAAACCUUUCCAGUUACUACAUAUCUAUCAUUUGCCACGCAAUAGUAUUUAACAAUGCCUAGUGGAUCAAUCUAGCAAAAUUUACAUUUCCUUAAAAUUGUCUCAAUUAUCUACUGUAUCACUCAAAACAAAAAAGUAUAGGAAAGCAAAUAGUCCAAAAGAUACCAAUGCAGAGCUCACAUAUGUGGCAAAAAAAAUAGGUGUAUUAAAAGACACCAUGUAUUAGCAAAAAAAAAAUUCAUCAUGAAUAAAUAUGGGAAACAAAAGAAACAUGUAGGUUCAACAUCUAGAGUAAACAUUUAGGAUCAUUAAUUCCCAACAUUAGAAUUUAGAGUGCAAAACAGUUAUGCAACUACCUUCUUGUUCCUUAACGAAACUAGCAAUAACAGGCUGAUUAGUUGCAUAUUUGCAUAUUUAAUGCCCAAGAGAAGUUGCUGCUUUUCAUCCCUGGUCACGAAAAGUUCAUACCAUUAAACAAGGUGUUUAUGCAAAUCAUAAAACUUUAAAUUUCAACACAGAAAAGAAUGACAAUUUAUAUAUAUAUACCACUUGAGAUGAUUAAGUUUACAUAAAAUGUGAUUACACUCGUAUGUUUGUGAGAUACCAAUGCACAUCUAGCUGCUGAAAAUGCUCCAAAAUGAUAUGCAGUUAUAGCCAUCCUACUGCACUAAGAACAUGAAGCCUUUACCAUUUGUCCUUUAAUUAAGAGCACCCGUAAUUUAUAUAUGUGUACUAAAUAAACCACAUAGGCAUUAACUAUAUAGUUCCUUACCAAAUCUUCUUCUCCACAGUUGCAGUCCAUAGUAUAUGCUUUCCCUCAUCAACAAUCGCGUAGACAUCACCUACAUGGGCACCAAUGAUUAAUAACCACUUUUGACCAAAUUCCUACUCAAAACAUAACCUGGGAUAAACCUUACCUCUUCUCAAUCUUAACCAAAUUGACCACCAACAUAGGUUCAUAGUACAGAUUAAUAGCUCAAAUAUAUACAAAUCAUUAGAUAUAUAAAUACUGCAGCAGCACCUACUCUUCUGAUCAUGCAUAAAUUUCAAAUUCCAGAACACAGGCAUGCAUAUAUUGGCAUAUAUGUCCGUAUAUAUCAUCAUUUACUGCAGUAAUAUAAACAACCACAAAUCUUGAACUGUAACUACACUGAAUUUGACAUCAUUCAUAUGAACCAAAAACACAAAAAUCGUCUUUAAAACUGAGCACUAAGAUAAAUUCAAGCUCCCACUGAUGCAAACAACAUAAAAGACUUUACUAUGAUUCAAACACAUUUCAAUCAAUAACUGAUUUUGUUUCACAUAUGCAGCAAUUAAGCUCUUCCUUUCUCCUCAAAUAAACCAAUAACCUUAUCAAACAUCUACAACAUCACCAAAAUUACAAAAACCUCCCUUGAAAACCUCCUAACCUUUACCAAAUCCGACCAAGGCAGACCCAAACCCUAGGUUUAACUACUCUGCCACGACGCAUCAGACCACCAGACCUUCUAUGUCAUCAGCUGUAGCCAAAACAGUAACCAAUCAAUCUCCAAAACACGAACUGAAGCACAAAGGAGCUCGAUAUUGAAGAAAGAGAGAAUAGGUUACCUUAGAGAAGCAAAGACUUCGCCAGAGAGAGAUGAAUCGCGUCGGAUUUGGAAUUAGGGAUUUGGUGUCCUGCUAAUGCCUGCUCGGUUGUCAAUUGCAAAAUCACCCACCUACAACAAGCAGCUACAAAAGCUAAACAUGGUAUGCCCUUGAACAAUGACUUUUGAAGAAACAAUAUGAAUGUGCAAGUCUACCACAUUUCAACUCUCUCUUCCUCCCUAAUCCCUACCAAUGCUCUGUCACUGGUCAAUCAAAAAUCUUGACUCAUACUAAAUUCAAAACCAUAUUCAUCUAUGCUUUUACAAACCCAUCAACAAAAACUCAUCACAGACCAAACCCAACACUAAAACAAUUAACUUUAAACUCCCACCACAUAAAAAUUCAACCUUUAUCCAAUCAAAUCCAUCAAACAUUUGGUGGGCAUAAACCAUUUUACCUGAGAAGGGACCUGUUCAAGAUCCUGAACAUCAGAUUCUCCGACAACACAAAGUCGCCGGAGGGAAACCGGGCCAACGGCUUCCGGCCCAAAUCCAUAACCACUUCAAUCAACUGAUGAAGCUCUGGGUGCUCCUUCACUCUCUGCCGCAUUUCCUCCGGCAAAAGGGCCAUGAGCCGGCCAAGUUCCACCGCGAAAUCCUCCUCGGAUUUCGAUUUGCCAAAUCGCGUCAGAUUUGGAAUUGCUGAAAUAGAAGGUAGGAGGAGGAAGAGUGAAGAGAGGGGAUUCGGCUGGUGGUCGUCAUUUGUUCUGUCGACGACUGCUCCAUGGUGGCGGACUGGCAGCUCAGUCUCGGACCUCUCUUCUCUCGACAAAAUGAGGGGAAGAGAUAGGGUUUUUCCAUCUUAUACUCUAGGUUGGGUUAAGAUACAGAUCAACGGCCGAGAUUAAAAGUGAUGAUUUUAAAGUUUGCCACGGCCUCUUCCCCCCGUCGCAAAUUUACUUUUUUAGCCACGGCUCCACAUUGCCGUCGCAAAACUUAAUUUUUUUUUGCUACGGCACAAAGUUGCCGUCGCAAAAUAAUUUUAAUUUAGCUACGGAAACGUUGCCGUCACAAUGCCGUUGCAAAAACUGGACCAAUGGUGACGGCAAAUCUGAGCCAUGGCAAUUUGGGGUGGCUAACUGAAUUCUUUUUUGUAGUGAUUACUUAUGCCUCCAACAUGAUCACUUCCCUGAUACUCCUUGGAAUGUUGCAGAUUUGUCAAGUCAGAUGUAAUAUGGGAGUUGGCACCACUGUCGAGCAGCUAAGUUGAAGGAGCUGGAGUGGACACAGAAGCUACCAUAGCACUGAGGUUCUUAGACGGCACCCUUCCUUGAUAAGAAAGGUUCAUACGAUUGUAGCAGUCCAGAGCAGUGUGACCAAUCUUGUUGCAAAUCUGACAGGUAGGACAUGAUUGGUUGUUGGACAAGAAGCUUGAUGAUGGAUGAUGUCCAAGAACAGAACUACCUCUCCCUCGAGUUGUAAGAGACCCUCUGCCUCCAAGAGUUGAAGCAGGGUUCCGAGUAGAAUAAGAGGUUGAGGAGAUACAGCCACGUCCUCGUCCUCGAUUGGAGAGAUGAGUAGCAUGAAGUGUUGUGGUUAUGGAGGAGACAUCUAGGGCAGCUUGUUGUUGAUCUUUCAUGCGCCUCUCAGCUGAAAGAAGAAGGGCUUCCAGAGACUCAUAGGUGAUUGGAGUGUCUCGUGUUUGAGCAGAGCUGAUUGUAUUCUCAUAGAGUGGUCCAACAUUGUUCAUGAUGAUGGAUACGAGAUCAUUCUCACUUGUGGGGCUUCCUGCAGGUGCCAAGUUAUCUGCGGUAGAAUUAAUUUUAUCAAGAAAAUCGGAGAUGGACAUGUUACCCCUCAUGGUCCUGAGUAGCUCUACUGAGAGGCAAAGCAUUUUGCCAAAGAACUCCAUGUAUAGAAGGAGUUAGUGGACCGAGCGACUGUAGCCAAGACUGGAGGCGUCAAAGAGUUGUUGAUCCACCCAAGGACCAUCUGAUCAUUAGCUAUCCAUUGUUGAUACGCAGGAUUGACUUCAUCAGUCAAUUUUCCUUCAGCAUCGGUUUUGAAACACGGGGGGCAGCCUAGGGUUCCAUCAACAUACGACAUCAAAUUUCGACUCUUUAGAAGCGGCUGUAUCUGUGUCAGCCACAGAGGGUAAUUGGUUCUGUCCAGCUUGAUAGAGAGGAAGUUGGACACAUUAGGGCUAGAGGUGUUAGGAAUCAUUCGGUGGGGGACAAGUGCAUUGUUGUUUGCACCAUUGGUGAUAGUGAGAGGAAGUUCAGGGUUGGGAAGAGGAGAUUCAGGUUUGAGAGGAGGAGUUUCGGGGUUGGGAGGAAAUUUUUUAGAAGAAGAGUCCAUUGGUAGGAGGCGAGAAAAAAAAUUGUCGUUUAGACUAUGGCUCUAAUACCAUGAUAAAGUAGUCUGGGGUUCACAUCUAAAACCAAUUAACAAUGGAUGGAGUAGCCCAAACCCUUAUAAACCACAGGCAAGGUCCCAUUUUUCCCGAUGUGGGAUAUAUAUCUCAACACGCCCCCGCACAUGUGGCGAAUUUUCAAGCCUAACACGUGGAUAAUAUUUAUGGUGACGUGGAGUUCGUGUGGCCUUUGGGCUUCACAUGUGGACGUGGGUAACCCGCUCUGAUACCAUAAACGAAUUGACAGAGAAUAAUACUUUGGUAAAUGUCAAGGCUUGAUCAUUCAGCCUGACUAUGUUUAUAUAUUGAACAAUACGUACAAGAUAAAGAUCUCAUGUACAAGAGAUAAAUACAACUCUAUGAGAAGCUAAUCUAAACAGUUACAAGAGAUGUAUCUGAUAAAGGAGAUUAUUAUCUAAUCAUAUCCACACUUGGAGAGUCCUCAUCUGCUGUUGUAGAUAGCCUCGUAUUCAAUUCUGUUACUUUUGGUUUAUCAAAGGGAGCCUUCAGCAUAUCGACUCGAAGUUAUAUUUGUGUCAUCAUCACUCACCCUUUCAAGCAAAAUGGCACCAAAUCUUCACUAUCUAUAAAAUCUAAAAUCAAAGAAACAAUUAAAUAGGAAGGUAAUAAAAAAAAUUAGAGAUUUGAAACCAAAGAAAUUAUAUUUCACUUAUAUAUAUAUAUAUUUAUAAUAUAAAUUUUAAUAAGUCGAGUUUUAAUAAAUGAACAUAAUAUUUAACAAUUUUGAGCUACUCAUAAAAAAUACGAGCUACUCACGAGCUAAACGGGUCGUACCAUUCUUAGAUGAAAAGGAAUGAUCGAAACAAAUUCAUUGAGGUAAUUUGUAAAUUGAAUUAAAUUAUAAUAAUAAAAUGAAGAAUAGAUAAGUUAUGUGAGUAACACUAUGACGAAGCAGGUGUGGAAAAUCAGUAUUCCUCUCAAAGUCAAAGUUUUUAGCUGGCAGCUCAUUCAUCAAAAACUUUCAACUAGAGACCGUAUUUUCACGAACUAUUAUAUAGAUUGUUCUUGCCUUUCUUGUCAUUCACAAUUAGAAUCAGCUGAUCACCUUUUCUUACAGGCCAUGUUUUCUUUUUCAGCGGACGAACACGAAUGCACAGUCUUGUCUUUUAUUCAUAUCCAGUUUGAUAAGAAUAAUACCACCUUUUCAGCAGGAUAUUAUAUCAUGGUCUGACAUGAUUAAAAAUUUCUAGUUGCUUAAUAUCUGCACAUCCAAACACCAGAUAGGAUACAACUAAUGUCACAUCCCGACCCUUAAAUUUUUAUCUUAUUUACUAGCUUGGUUAUAAUAAGAAUUUUACCGUCUCCGUCAUUGAGGCUAUAGUGUAAUUGGUCCCUAGAGGGGUUUGGGGGACGGUUAUUUACGGAGAAUUAUUCGUAGGAGAAAAAUAUGACGACGGUAAAAAUGGUAAAUUUUAGCUAGUAAAAGGUAAUUUUUAUUAGGGUAUUAUUUUUCGGGGUGUUUUAUUUUGGAGUAAGUGUGGGUUUAUAGGUUUUGGACCGGAUGGGUGAGGCCCAAACCCAUCUCCCUCUCUGUCCCGGUUUUUCCCCCGAGCCAUCUCUUUGCCGGAAACUUCCGGCCGCUCGUCCGCCGCUAUCCGGCCGCCUGAGACUGCCGCACCGGUCCUGUUCGGUCGGUCUUCAACCCAGCCACCUCCCUGGACCGGUGACAGCCCCUCGACCGCUGCCGUGAGGGAGUUCUCUCCCUGAAACCCUUGGCUGCCGUGAUGGUUUCCUCGUCGGAGCUCCCUCCUCCGGCCGCCAUAGCCGGCGAGUCUUGGCUCAUUGUGAAGCUCUCCUCCCGUGCAUCAAUCCCUCCAAAGGGCUCACUCCCUCUUGAGCUAGGUAAGGAGAAAUUUAAAGUUGAAAUCCUAGGGCUCUUUAGGUGUUUGUGUUCGAUUGCCCUAGCUAGGCUUGGAUUUUGUGUUUGUGCUAGUUAGAAAAGUUGUAGAGGGGGUUGAGAGGAAGCUGCUGUUGAAUUUUGGUAGGCAUUGGAGGUCGCCGGAAUCGGCCUCCGGCCGCCGCUGCCGGCGGGGCUGGCGCCGGCGCCGGCGCCGCCGCAGGUUGGAAGAUUUUAAUGUUUUUAAAUUUGGAAUAUUAAGGGGAGUUUAUUGAAGUGAAUUAUGGAAUUUUUGGAUGAGUUUUGGAUAAGGUUAUGAAUUUCCGAAGUGUGGUAUUUUUGGUGGUUGAAUAAUGUAGAAUCCGGCCAAAGGAUUUAAGCCAUUAAUCUGUGGAAUGUUGAAUUAGGGCUGCCGGUUUGUUCGGUGAAGUUUAAGCCAUUUUGAGUUAAGAAUGGCGAAGUUGGGCAAUGAUGAGUGUGUGGGAGGCUCACGUUUAAUUUUGCCCAUUUUGUCUAAAUAUUGGAUUUUUAGUUGGGAAAUUAAUUUUAUAUUUAUGCCAGGGUUCGAGGAAACCUCACUGGAGUGGCUAUUUGGAUUUCGUCGGGCUUAUGCCUAGAGUUGUGAGUGGACCUUUGUUUUAAUUGAAAAGCAUGCGAUGAAUUUAUUUUGUUGAUCUUUUAUUUCUCCUUAUGAGACUUAUUGAUUUCUCGGUUAUUUAGCAAUUUUCCUCCUUUGGAGAGUUCCCGAAAAUGAGAUUUUCGGUGGAUAUGUUUAUUGGAUGUUUAUGAGGAUAGUAUGUAUAUAUAAAUGCUAGCUAGCCAUAUGUGCUUGAUCCGCCAUAAUGAGGUAAAAUAUCAUUAUGGUGUGACGUGAGUGUUAGACACAAGCGUAAUAGCCCUAUAUAAAAACUAUUUUUGUUUUCUGGUUCAUAUAGGUUUUCAUAUAGGGAGUCCACAUGUAUAUACACUCGUGCUUUUCCGCCAUAAUGAGGAAAAAUUUCAUUAUGGUGUUACGUGAGCGUUAGACGCAAGCGUAGUAGCCUUGUAUGAAUUUCUAUUUUGCUUAUUCCUUCAUAGAAUUCGUACAAGGAGUAUGACGAGUAUAAAUACAUACACAUAUAUAUAUAAAUAUAUAUUUUUAUAUAUAAUUUAGCCUGAGAGGCCUUAUUUUUGUUAAGUUUGGAGACUCGCCGGAACUAGUCACGAAAUUGCCAGUUUAUGAGUUGAGCGCUUUUGAACUGCUGCAUGCAGUAUAUUUUUUCUUUGGAAAUUGAAAUGGGGAAGCAUAAAUAUUUUUAUUAAUUUAUUUUUGUCCACUCACUCUAAUGGUUUCAAAUGUCUUUCCCUGGGCCCUUUGUUUUAAAAUGCCCAGUUUGCAGGAUUGCAUAGUUGAGGUCGGACGUAUGUACAUGGAGAUGAGGCAUAGUCAUCAUAUAGCUUCCGCGUGUUAAUUUAUUAUGUUUCCUUUCUUCCUGUUAGAGUUGCUCUGAACCUAUAAAUGGUUGGAUAUGAGAUUUGUUUAGAUUAGUAAAUAAUUUGGGUGGUGUUAUGAUUUGGGGAGCACGAAGGCUCCAGGAGUUUAAGGUUGGAUUUAAAUUUUCAGAAGUGUUUGCAGGUAUUAUUAGGAAGGGUUGUCCAUUUUCAAGGGAGGUUAUGCCGAUUUUUCGGUAAAUUUUCUUUAGAGGUGGUCCCCACAGGAUUUACUUCGGAAUUUAGGGUGAAAUUCAGGAUGGGUUUUGACAACUAAUCUUGUCAGACCACCUUAUCCGGCCAAACAAACGGCCCCACAGUGUAAUUUUGCCAUUUUAGUUUGGCAAAAAACAUUCCCUUCUCUUAAUAUAUCAACAUUUUCUACUUUCAAUGCUUAUCUCAAACAUCUAGCCUCGAUCCACUCCAAUCCCAUUCUUUUUCUAGACAUUGCUCUUAUUAUUGCUUAUUCUAUAUGGAAAUAUCAUAACAAUAUCAUCUUUAGGAACCAAUCCACUACUCCUUCCUAGAUAGUCUAUUCUUGUGUCAACAUGUUCUAAUCUUAUCGCUCUUGGCAUAUAAACCUCUUAUCAUUAUUCUCUUCCUAGAAAUCAGAUUCUAAAAUGUAGGGCUGGCACAAAUCCCGUAAAUCCCGGUCCCGUCCCGAUCCCGGUGGGAUUUGAAACUAAAAACACCGGUCCCGUCCCAUUAGAGAAACAAUGGGACGGGACGCGGGAUUGAAAUUUUGAGUCCCGUCAGGCCCGUCCCGUCCCGUCUAAUUUUUAAAAUUCAUAACUAAUUGUAGAAAAAUUAUUUUUGAGAGAUCCCAACUCUCAAAUGAUCUUUAAGAUGUCAUCUAUAACUUUCAUAAAGAUACUAAACUCAUAUAACGAACCAAUUUGUACAGUUUUCGAAAAGAAGCCAACUGGUUCAAAUCUCAGAAUUUACUAAUAUAGACCCUAAACUUUAAGAAACCAUAACUUAAUCUAGAAAAAUAGUUUUCACGUGAUUCAAAUUCUGGAAUGAACCUUAAGAUGUCUACUACAAAUCUUAUGAAGACACCAAGAUGAAAUUUCAAAUGCAACGGUAUGAUUUCCAGAAGAAACGAAACUGAUGCAGGAUGGCUGGGAUUGGGCUCGUCCAGUCUAACUUUCAAAAUUCAUAACUAAUUGUAGAAAACUUAUUUUUGAGAGAUUCCAACUCUCAAAUAAUAUUUAGGAUGUCUUCUGUAACUUUCAUGAGAACACUAAACUCACGUAACCAACCAAUUUGUACAGUUUUUGAAAAGAAGCCAACUGGUUCAGAAUCACAGAAUUGACAUGCAGAAUUUAUAGAUGCAGACCCUAAACUUAAAAAAAUCAUAACUUAAUCGAGAAAAUCAUUUUCAAGUGAUUCAAAUUCUGGAAUGGACAUUAAGAUGUCUACUACAAAUCUUAUGAAGACACCUAGAUGAAAUUUCAAAUGUAACUGUACGAUUUCUAGAAGAAAAGAAACUGAUGCAGGAUGGCCAAGAUUGGGCCCGUCCCAUCCCGAUCCCGUCCCGUCCCAUCCGGGAUUAGGCCCGGCGGGAUCGAGUCUGAAAAAUGUAAGGCCCGUCCCGAUCCCGUCCCAUGUGUAACAACCGGGACGGGACGUGGGAUGACCUCAAUCCCGUCCCAUCCCGUCCCAUGCCCACCCCUACUAAAAUGGAUCCCUCCUCCAAACAACAUCCUGAAACUUAACUUUGAUGGUUCGGUUACUAACAAUUAUGGUGUUGUUGCCUUUGUUUUCAGAAAUGAUCAAGGUCCAAUCUUAGGAUCCAGGAUGAAAAUGUUACCAAGGCUAAUCGUAACACGAAAAAAAAUUCAAGGAAACUCGACUAGACGGUGCGAGAAAUUUUAGAAACUUGUAAAUGGGAGUAACCAAAAACACAAGCUUUGGUUGAAUACUUGGAUAGAAUGUAAAGAUAGAUGGGUUUGUCUGCUAUACUGAUAUGUAUAACAUACAAACUAAUAAAAGAACUAAAAGGGGGGAGAUCACGUGUAGCAGGGGUGGUGUGUUUUGGAAAAUUUGGCUGCAAAAAUAAGUUUGUAUGCCAUGCAUUAAUGUACAACACAAUUUUCCAAGACGGAUUACUUCAUUAGUGGUGAGCAAGUUUGCAAACUUGCAGACCAAAAUUAGUAGAAACUAUACAAAACACAAAGCAGAAAUGCAUACCGAAGGGUUGGGUUUGUUCCAGUCUGUGAGAAAUGCAGAAACACAAAGCAGAAUAAAUAAAAGGGUUGGGUUCAAAAAUCAGAAUGAAGCUAAACCCUAUGCUAGAUAGAUAUGCUUUAGUGUGGAUUUGUUCAAAAUGGUAGAUUCUUUGUUUCGAAAACACUGAGUUUAUGUAAACUCAAAACUCAAAGUUGAAUGCUUUGUGCAAAGGUUAUUGAUCUGAUCCCCAUAUACUUUACAACCUUCUCACCUCCUUCAUUCGACAUCCGCUUAACUCUGCAUGUAGUAUUUUUUUUUGGCCAAUUACAUAUAAGUCCACUUUGAGAUAUUUUUUCCCACAUAAGUCCACCCCAACAUUUUUACCCAUAUAAGUCCACCCNNNNNNNNNNNNNNNNNNNNAAGAAAAGCUACUAUCGCUAACUACAAAAGCUACUACCAUACAUAAUAAAUCUACUAUUACCAAGUAAUACAAAAUAUACUAUUACAGUGUCAAAAAUAUACUAUCGUAAUGACAAAAAUAUACUACUACUGUGUUGGAAAUAUACUAUCAUAACCAUAACCAGUCAAUUGUGAGCUUGUUGAGCGUUGAGCAUGUCAAGAGGACGGUUCCAUUCUCGGUAGAGCCUUCGUUUCCCGACGCCGUCGAUGCCAGCAACGACGGGUUUAUCUGGAUCGGAUCUAGAGGUGAAGGCACUAGAUGGUUGAGCGGAUCAAAUCAGAAAGUGUCAUCAUCGAUCCGGAGGCUUCAUCGUUGGGCCGGCGACGUCGAGGUCGAAUCAGAACACGUCAAGGUCAAAUCAGAAGAGGCCGAGGUUGAGGCCGAAUUAGAAGUCUGGAUCGGAUCUAGAGGUGAAGGCGCUAGAUGGUUGAGCGGAUCAAAUCAGAAGGCGUCAUCGUCGAUCCGGAGGCUUUGUCGUUGGGCCGGCAACGUCGAGGUCGAAUCAGAAGAGGCCGAGGUUGAGGCCGAAAUAGAAGUCGUCGUUGAUGGAAUUAGACGCAGUCGAGGCGUCAACGUUAAGCUGGCAGCGUCGAGGUCGAGGCGUCAUCGUUGGCCGGCAGCGUCAAGGUCGAGGUCGAGGCGUCGUCAUCGUCGUCGGAGUAGCAGAUCGGCGUCGAGCUAUCAUCGUCAAGUCAGUGUUGUCCUGAGACGCCGCCAUGGCCGGAGAUUCAAGAUCGGAGAAGAGAGGGAGGAGGAAGACGAUGAGCCAGAGAGAGAGAGAGAGAGAGAGAGAGAGAGAGAGAGAGAGAGAGAGAGAGAGAGAGAGAGAGAGAGAGAGAGAGAGAGAGAGAGAGAGAGAGAGAGAGAGAGAGAGANNNNNNNNNNNNNNNNNNNNNNNNNNNNNNNNNNNNNNNNNNNNNNNNNNNNNNNNNNNNNNNNNNNNNNNNNNNNNNNNNNNNNNNNNNNNNNNNUAUGGGUAAAAAUAUUAAGGUAGACUUAUGUUACAAAAAAUGUUGAGAAAGUGACUUAAGUGAAAUUUUCUAUUUUUUUUUAGGUUUGAAAUUAUCACCUGGGCUCUAGCCUAGGUAAGCCUGGGACUGGAUCUGCUCUUGUUAGCUUCAACCAAGUGUGUGGGUAGUACUGAUAUUCUUGUUGUUGAAUCUCUUGUUUUGCGGGCUAGUCUCACUAUAGCAUGGUACCAUGGUUUUUCUCACUUCCAUGUUGAAGAAGACUCACAGAUUCUCAUUGAUGCGGUCAAUAACAAGAUUACUUGCCCGUGACGCAUCUCGACACUUGUCAAUGACAUCAUACAUUUUGCCUAGCUGCUUCAUAUCUCUUCAUUUAGGACACAUUAAAUGGGAGCAUAACUUUGUAGCUGACGCACUAGCAAAGAUGUGACACUCUUCAUACACCAAGACUAGGCACUUUUCGUUGCCUCUUUCAGCGAGCUCUACCGUUUAUUUUGACUCUCUAGAAGUAGGUUGUUUUAAAGGUUUUAAGUUUGUAGUUUUAUUUCUUCUUUACCCAGAAAAAACACUGACGAAGCACUUUGGGUGAAGAGGUACGCGUGGUUACCGAAUAAAACAGAAAUUGAUGAUCACAUCAUGGCCGCCGCCUCUCACUCUUUCUCUCCCUCAUCGCCCCAUAUGUUCGAAUUGGUAAUGCGAACCUUUGUUUUCUUUUUUUCUUUAUCACUUUGCAUCUUAGAUUGCAUAUAUGCACAACUAAUUCUACGUUUGGAACCCUGGUCCUCGAUAAACAUAUCAUCUUAGAGUGUGCUUCUUAUGUCUAUCUAUUGGUUUUUUUUAUUUGAUUUUAAAGCCAUUUGAUCUUCGAUGCUGUAACCGGAGCGGAUCAGUGCACUUGAACCGCUGACAGACUAAGCAACGAUGGUUAGUGACAAAAAACUCAGACCACAGUAAAAACUUAGGAGCCUAAAAAACACUCUUUCCUCUUCACAGAACUAACCAGUAACCACUCAGCCUCUCUUCAGUCUUCAUCUCCCCGCCUCCGAAACCUUAAUCUCCCCAAAAACUCAGCCUUUCCAGCCUCCCAAUUUCGACCCAUCGCAGGUCAUCAAGAUCUAUGUAAAAAACCUGAGACAAGGUCGGCGCCGUCAGUUUCCUCGCUCCCAAAAUCAGUUAUCUCGGUCUCUCCCCCAAGCAGAACAGAAAACACAUCACUAAGGAGACCGAGAAGGACUGGAAGGUCAAGGUCUUCAGGCUCAAUGAUGUCUUCGAGAGAGCACCAUAUUCGUUAUUGGGGAGUUUGAGAUUUGGUGGAUGUGGAAGGGCUGGACCACCAAUCACUCAAUCGCCGACGAGGGUGAUAGCGACCGGAGGCGGGGGUGAAAAUGCGGAAGCGACCGGAGGUCCUCGGAAUGAGAUAGACGUGGAGAGAGACUGAGAGUGAGAUGGGGAGGAAGAGAGAGAGAGAGAGCGGCGGAGGGUGGUCAUUCGAUUUGUGACUCUGUGUCUUGGAUCCUCAGGCGAAUGAUUUGGCGUACAUGAUCACAUUUCAGCUUCUAUGUACUCAAUCUAAAUGGCUCUUAUCAAUUCAUGGAGAAAAUACACGGUCCAGAUCGCACAAGUUUUUCUAAUUUUCUUUAAUAUUUCUUUAAUUAAGAAACUUUCAAAAACUCUGUAAAAAGGUUGGGUAUCCAAAAAAUUAUUCAAAAAUAUCCACAAAUUCGUGACAUCGUAUACUUUUAGAGUGUGAAAGUUUUUGAAAGGCAUUAUACUCCCGAGCAUUACCGAGAUUGUAAAUUAGUUUGUGGACGAUCUUUACUUAGCUCAAGAAAAUAAGUUUCGGGAAACAUAUAUUAACUUAUUUUUAUUUCUAUCGACACGGUCAACAUUAACAAAAUAAAUACGUUUCAAACAUUACCAUUAUGUACCGAUGUCAAAAAAUGAAAAUUCAAGUCCAUUGUUUAACGUUGUACUUAUUAUUAGCACGUAACACAUAGGUGUGCAUUGUGUAUUUUUUUUCUUCUCGUUUUGGUUUUUUUUUGCACUGAACGAAUUCUUUGUGUGCCUACUAACGUGAUCUAUUUUGUAUGUAAUUAACUUAAAUAAGUAUUAACCGUAUUCAUUUGGGAAUGACGAUCUACAAGCUAGGUCGAUUUUUUUUUCUUCAGAAUAAGCAUGAUAAUUAACUACGGAGAAAAUACAUAAUUAAUUAGGUAAGGUCAAAUUACCAAAAAUUUGUAAAAUAAUUGUUGAAGUUCGGCAAUUGAUCAAAGCUUAUAGUCACCAAAUUUUGGAGUUCGGAUUUGAAUGUUAUUUAUAUCGUUUUAGGAAAAUAAAAAAUUAACAAUUCAUGGUCUUAAUUCAAACCUAAACAAUGAUAGACAUGACUGAUUCUUUCACACGAUUCAUAUUACCAAGCCAUAAAUAUGUUAGAGAAGAAAUAUCCCAUAUCAGAAAAUGGACAAAGAAAAAUAUAACUUAUAAGUAGAUAGAUCAUACUCAAUUGUACCGAAACCUUUUAUGGUUAAAAACCAACUCUUUAAAUUAAGACAGUAUCAAUACAGUAGUGAUCUACAAGCCAUUCUUGUCCUUGUUCAGGUAUAUAUAGGCAAUGUCGAGUGACUCGAGUCUUGUUUGUUUCUCACAUAAUGCAAUUUAGAAUUAAAUAGCUAUGCAAAAUAAUUGUCCCUAUGAUAUUCAUUUGUGUCACAAUCGACAGGAUCAAAUGUACUUUAUUAAAUAACGAUACUCAUAACCAAAAUUUUAUCUAAAUAAUGUAGGAUUCAAAAACUAAAAAAAAAAUAUAUAUACAAGGUUGAGCAUGAGUAAUAUAAUCAUAUGUUUUGAUAUCAUCACAUAACAUUUUAUUUAGAUAAUGUAGCUCAUUUGAAAAAUAACUAUAGAACGAAAUAGAGUUGACUCAAUCCGACAAAAUGAAAAUAAUCUCAAGAGAUAAUUUUGGUUCAACUUUAGUUGACUCAUGUACUUUUUUCAUUCCCUUUAAAAAUGUAAUUCGAUUUAUUAGGUUAAUUUUAAUCAAAAAUAAAUUAUUUAUUACAAAUACAACAAUGAAAAUAAUAAAUAGAUAAUCAUACUUAAUCCUAAUUCUAAUAGCAAAUUUUACACGCCUACCCCUUAUAAGAGCACAAGGGAUCUACAUCAUUCAUAAUAGGUAAAUAGGUAAAUUCCAUAUUUAAUGCGUUUUAACAUAAUAAAUAAAGAAGGAUAAAAAGUCUGACUAAACAUUUAAAAAUUGUAUUAAUUGCGUUUUGGAAUUAAUUACCAGUUAAUAUUUACCCUAACCUUAAUUUUACCAUGUUCAUUCAAUUUUUUUUUUGUCUCGAUUCUCUUUAACGGUGUUAGUAUUGAUUCAAUUUUUUUUGCUGCGGAUACAUAUGCAGCUUGUGGGAUCUGAUUGACAAUGCUUCAUUCUAUCACAUAUUGUACAACAUUAAGCAAUGACUCUAAAGGUUAAGUGAAAGGGAUAUGAGCGCGUUUGUUAUGGGGGAUUAUGUACCCCUGGCUUAAUUUCUUUAGUAGUCUUGCACUCCACAAGCAAGGCUUAUCUUAUAGCAAGCUUGACCCAUGUUUGGUGUUAGUGGACUAUUAUUAAAACUAAACAAUCAACCUAAAAGCAUAACUGCAUAACCAUCGUGAUCCCCAUCAUGACCGCCUCCUCACCUCACCUUCAUUCCCCCCACAACAACUCAGCCUCCUAGAAAUCAACCCAAAAGCAUAACCAUCGAAUUCGAUGUCACCCAGUUUUCUCCGAUGCCGUCGACCACCUUAUUUGAAACUCCACCACCUCCUUUGAUGUCGCCCAGCUCUCUCUACAGUGUGUAGAGUUGUUAGAGCUGCUGACGCCAAAGAGGGAGAUGAGGUUGGUAUGGUGGUUGCAAGAGAUCUGUUGGAGAUCCAGGAAGGGUUGAUCAGGCGGAGGAGGAGUCCAGCAGCAGCGGCAGCGGCGAAAUCCAAACGAAGAAAUUGAAGAGAUUUGAUGUUGAGGCGCGAAAAACACUUCUUCUGUAAACCCACCAAUUUUGGGGCCGUUAUGUAAGAAGGUGUUGACCCUGUUUUUGGGACUCCAUAAGCUCAUUAAACGCAGUCCCUGGUGCUGCCAAACACAGGUUUCGGCUUGCUACAGUAACUAAUCCAGUCCAAUCCCAUCUAGUCCCCCGUAACAAACAUGCACAUCUUAUAUAUAUAAGCAAACUGUGUUUUUCACUGAUCACGUGAAUAGUGAAGCGACCAUUAUUCCCCUGCAUUUAUUUCUUUUUUACGUCUGUGCCAUUCUAACUUAUAUUGACUGAUUUGCCCUUAACUAGCAGAAUGACAGUGUUGCCCCUACUUCAAAUUUAUUUACCAUACUGCCAUUAGUCUGAUUGUAAAGACGUUUAUACCCCUAUUUUGAUUUUAUUUACCAUGCUGUCAUGAUAUGUCAUAAAAAGACAGUAGUGCCCCUGUCUGCAUUUUAUUUUAUUUUUUUUAAAAGAAAAAAUAUUCAUGGUGCUUCCCGUUGUGACCCGUGUCGGGAUUGAUAUCGAAACGUCUCCUCAGUAUUGGUGGGUGACAUCUAUUUCUUUCUAGCAAGCAACAUGACACGGGCAAUUGCAACUUGAACAGUGACCUACCGAAUUUAUCCCCGUGUUUUUUAAGCUAUUUCAGUUUUGCCACUCCCUCAGUUUUUUUUUAUUUGAGUUUUGCCCCUCCAUUUUUUCCUUUUAUUUCAAUUCUGUCUUUCACCCCUCAGUUUUCUAUUUAAGAUUUGCCCCUUCAUUCUUCCUUUUAUUUCAGUUUUGGCCCUCAGUUUUUGGCUUUCUUUCUGUUUUCGUACUCAGUUUUUUUUGUUAAUGUUAUACAUUUUUUUUUAUCAAAUGCACAAUUAAUGUGCUAUACUAUUGUGAGUCGAACUCACGACCUCUCACUUAUAAGGAGAGAUUUAUGCCACUAUACCAAACGGUACUGGGAAAUGCUAUACAUUUUGCAAAAAAAAUGAAAAUUGCAUUCUAAAAAAAAACAACAAUAAUAAUGAUAAUAAUAUUGAUAAGAGAAAAUUAAAUAUUUUUACGUUGAUCAAUGUCAAUUGCGUUUUAAACGCAAUCUGUUGUUUGUGAGUUUCGAACAACAAAUUAUCAAAUUAAGAAAAAUUGCACAAUAAUUAUCAAACUGGCAGAAAUCGCACUCCCGCACACGCGCGAGUGGGUGUAGGAAGGCUAGUAUAUAUAUACUCCCUUGGAAAUCAACAAUUGUUACACUUACAUGGAAAUCAAAAAUUGUUACACUUACAUGGAUCUGUUAUUAGACUUUGUUCCUGCACUACACAAGUACAUAUCAGGUCCAUUUUAUCCCGAAUAUCAGCAUGUGAGGACCCCAUAACUAAUCGUUCGGUUAACUUGCUUCCCAAGAGUGAAAAGGGUAUAGGUUGUAGGUUCUAGGCACCAGCAGUGCUCCAAGAGUGAUUGUUUCAGCACCUGCAAAUGAAUUUGAUCUUCUAUCUCAAAGAGUAAUGCAGCACCAUACUUUUUUUCCUCAUAAAUUUCAAUCUCAAAACCGUCUUGGCUAUGGUCAUGCUUCACAAAUAUACUUAAAAUGCUAACCAUAACUAAUUUUCAACUAAUAUGUUGUUGUCUAUUAUGUUCAGAGAGAAUCCUGCUUUCAAGGCAGCAGUGAGAAUUUUCACAAUGGGCGAAAGCCAGACACAAAGCUUUUUUAAAGAACCUAAUUUUCCUUCAAGCGUGCGAAAUACUUGAAUGGGUGCAUGCUUCUGCAUAUCCAGUAACAUGGUAAAAUGCUUGUUUUUAUAUGCUUCAAGUUAUUUCAUCAGUGUUCAAAUAGUAACUAAACUUACAAAAACAGAAACAGACUGGACUUCCUGAUUAUUUUGGAACAGAGUAGAGACUCCUUUUUUCUUUUCCCUGCCUUUUUAUGUGAAAUGCCUGUAACAGUAUGAUGUACUUAGUAGAUCAGAUUUUGUAACAUGUGCUGAAAACAACUUGAGCUGUGCAUGCCGCAUCUUCAAUUCUUGCCAGCUUACUGUUGCAUGUCAAAAGCAUGAUCCUCCCAGACCAACCUAUCAGAUAAUGUAAUAGUUAAGAACUUGUAUAUUACUUCAACUCUAAGUCACUGUAUAUAUAAAUGUAGGAUAUCCAUAAAUGUAUAUAUGAACCAAAAAUAUGAUAUCAAAAGUUACUUCAGAAUCCUUUUAUUAGAUGUGAGUUAACAAACUAAAGCAAUCUGGUUCAUUUAAAACCAUUUCAUAAGAAAUGAACUCCCAACCCAGGUAAGUGGCCCAUCUGUUCUGUACUUAUGUCUGUGUAUGAUCUAGAAGCUGCCUAUUAUAUGAUAGGUAGCCUAUCAUGAAACUUGAAUUGUUUUAAGAAGCAGUCUAACUUUCAAGAUUUGAAAAAAAAAAAUCUGUUUUGCAGGGUUGCGUGAACUUGGUGGUUGCUGCUGGCUCCACUGAAUUGCAAAGGACUCCUUCCCCCAAUAAGUCUGUCAGGUUGUCAAGGACAUGGCUGUAUAUUCAAAUGCCAGAUUAUAAAGAAAAUUUAAGCUCGGGAAGGCUGGACUGGAUUCUCUAACACUGCUGUAACUGAGUUUGACAGGUUAGUAAUCAAGUUGGGUAUUUCUAGUUGUGUGGUGCAUAUUGAUACUGCCCUUAUGGACUUUCUAUAGUACAUCUGACUCUAUAAGACAUCCAGGAAUGAGAAGGGCCUCACUCCAAUUGGUUGCUUCCCUCACUUAGCUCAUUAUGGCGACUAUCAAGGGAUGCUGCGCUGAGGAUUAUUACUCUUGAGGAUAUCAAUCUCAACUUCAUUGAUACCUUCUCAGAGUUCAGGCAUUGUUUCUUCCGGAGAACACAGGAUAUUAUUAAUGACUCAAGGCACGAGAGGUGAUCAAAAGUUCACAACUACAGGCACUUUCUUGGGUUUGUUUAACAACUGAAGAUUAUGCAGCAUAGACAGCAAUGCUAAUCGAUUACCUAAGAUUAUAUCGACAGCAAGACAAUGUAAUUCUAUGAUACUUUUCUGCGGCAAACAUCUAUGUAAACACUGAAUCUUUCCUAUGCUGUGUCUUAGUUUCGAUGCCAAUUGAAACAGUGGAUAAUGAUAUGAUCUAAACAUUUCAUGGUACCAGAAAUCAUGAACUUGUUGGAAAAAGAAAAUGAAUGAAAGAAUUAGAGAGAAGGAAUAGUACCCCGGAGGUUCGUAGCCAAGGAAACAGCUAAUGUGGUGUUGAAACACAGCCAAUGCAAGAUUCACAUGAGCCAAUCCAUCUUGAAUGUUGCCGUGUCCGCCUUCAUCGUCGAUGUGGCAGUCGGCAUUAUACACCAGAAAACUGUGGAUGGCCAACGCCGACGUGCUGAUCAUUCUCGCAGUGACGCUAAUCUGCCGAACCUCCGCGGGGAACACCUGGACUUCCGGUUCGAACUCGAAGCGAUGAGCGAUAUCAUUAAUGGAGCCUUGGAUUCUGACCGCCGCCUGCGUCAUCCUUUCCAGGCAGGCCCGCAUCACGUCCAAGAUCGCCGGCCGAUUGACUUCCACCGCCUCCGCCUCAGCCGCUUCAAAUUCAAGAAAAUCCAUGCCCUGAUUCAUGCGAUCCAGUCCGUAAUCUAGUCUUUGCAGCGCGUGAUUGAACCCUGCCAAGCCGCGAUUAACAUUUGCCUGAAUUACGCCGGCAUUCACCUGAGGGACGCCGCCGGCAUUCGCCUGAGGGCCGCCGCCGGCGUUUGCCUGAGGGUUGUCAUGAGCGACGAGGCCGUUAGCAUGAGGACCGCCGGCAUUUGCGUUAGGGACGGGGAAGACUGGAGGGCCGCCGACGCCAUUUGCCUGAGGACCGAUGCCGUUUGCCUGAGCACCGGCAGCGACGUUUGCCUGAGCACCGGCAACGCCGUUAGCCUGAGCACCAGCAGCGACGUUUGCCUGAGCACCGGCAACGCCGUUGGCCUGAGCAACGCCUCCGGCAUUUGCCUGAGCACCGGCAGCGACGUUUGCCUGAUCACCGGCAGCGACGUUUGCUUGAGGACCGCCAACGCCGUUUGCCUGAGCACCGCCGUCGGCAUUUGCCUGAGCAUUGUCGUCGUCGUUGUUCAUGGUGGAGGUUUUGGAAUUUAGGGUUUUGGUUUCUUGAGUGGUUUUCUUGAUGGAGCAAGAAGAGAAAUGAAAGCUAACAGAAUUUGGGAAAGGGGGAAAUCCUUGGUUCGUAAAUGGCUUUAUAUGCUCUCACCCGGAUGAGAUGUUCUCACUUUGGACCGGGUAUUCCAAGGCCCAACAACAAACAAGGCCCAUGAGUUUGACCUUUUUUCUUUUGGUUGACUGAAUCGAUUUUUAUAUCAGAGUAUUCAAACUCUGGCUGCUUCUUUUCAUCAUUGCAUUUUUUCUUUAUGUUUGGAGGCAGGAAAAUUUUACAGCUGAUGUUUUGGUAAAGUUGGGACAUAAUCUACAGUGUGCUAGCUGGUCUUUUACUUUUCUUGUUUUUGUUUCUCUGUACGUUUUGAUUUGAGUCAAUUAGGUUGUUGUAAGGUUUUUCGUUGUAAAUUUUGUUUCUACUCAUUAAAAAAAAAAGCUGAUUACAUUUUUUUUUGUUUUAAUAAUUUCUUAAAUAUAUAAAUUACAAAUCUUAUAGAAGUGCGGCUAUUGGGACCUCUAAAUUUGUUCAGUAUACAUCUCAUUCUUUCUACAUAUCUAUUUUAUUUUUAAAUGCAAGCAUUUGCUCAUUAGACCUCAUUUUAAAUUCAUAAAAUAGCCUUAUUUAUGUAAUUCAUGUAUAUUUUAAUAUAUUACUCAUUACACCUCUAUUCACUCACUAUACCUCCAAUUAUUUUUUUCUUUUUCCUUUUUUGCAUGCGAACAUCCAUUCCCGACUUCCAUUGUUUNNNNNNNNNNNNNNNNNNNNNNNNNNNNNNNNNNNNNNNNNNNNNNNNNNNNNNNNNNNNNNNNNNNNNNNNNNNNNNNNNNNNNNNNNNNNNNNNNNNNNNNNNNNNNNNNNNNNNNNNNNNNNNNNNNNNNNNNNNNNNNNNNNNNNNNNNNNNNNNNNNNNNNNNNNNNNNNNNNNNNNNNNNNNNNNNNNNNNNNNNNNNNNNNNNNNNNNNNNNNNNNNNNNNNNNNNNNNNNNNNNNNNNNNNNNNNNNNNNNNNNNNNNNNNNNNNNNNNNNNNNNNNNNNNNNNNNNNNNNNNNNNNNNNNNNNNNNNNNNNNNNNNNNNNNNNNNNNNNNNNNNNNNNNNNNNNNNNNNNNNNNNNNNNNNNNNNNNNNNNNNNNNNNNNNNNNNNNNNNNNNNNNNNNNNNNNNNNNNNNNNNNNNNNNNNNNNNNNNNNNNNNNNNNNNNNNNNNNNNNNNNNNNNNNNNNNNNNNNNNNNNNNNNNNNNNNNNNNNNNNNNNNNNNNNNNNNNNNNNNNNNNNNNNNNNNNNNNNNNNNNNNNNNNNNNNNNNNUGAUCAAAUUGUAGAAAUAACUAUCAAUUUUCAAGAAAAGUUCAUUCGAAUCAUGUAGAAUACUAUACUCUUAAAAAAUUAAAAAAAAAAAGAACAAGGGUUGUGUCUCAACUUUUAUAUAUCGAUCAUCAAAAUAAUGUUUUUACAUGAAUUAUUCUAUAUUUUUUUUCUUUUAUAUUUCUGUUUUACAUAUAAAUUUUUUUUGUAAGUUUUUUGUUUUUGUUUUUAUACCUCAUGAUGAUAAAUUAUUUUAAUACUUAUUUAUUUUUAAUAAUUAAUAGAUCAUAAUUUUUGUAAAAAUAUCUUUUCACUUUGUAUAUGCAUGCAUAUGACAUGUAUAAUAAUAUAAAUAUAUAAAUGCUUUAAUAAGUAUGUGGUAAAACUAUAAAAUAAAAAUCAAUACAAAAAAUAAUAAAAUGCAAUUCAUUAUUAUUGAAUUAAAAAGUUUAGUAAUAUUACUUUUUGUUUAAUUAGUGUCCUUAAUAGUCAUUGUGUAAGAGAAUAUAUAUGUCAUUUAAUAAUUCAUAAUAGAGUGAGGUCAGAGUGAGGUCAAGUGAGCAAAUUUGGAGGUUCCAAUAGCCACACUCAUUUUAUAGCUAGGAGUACAAUCUUUUUGUUUGUUAAAUUUAUGGCUUUUUAGCCAAAUUGCUACCCUACAUUUCACCUUAGUGUCAAUUUGCUACCUUAACUUUCAUUUCAGCCAAUUUGUUACCCUAACUUUUCAUAAUUAGCCAAUUUGUUACCCUAACUUUUCAUAAUUAGUCAUUUGCUACUCUAACUAUUAUUUCUGCCAAUUUGCUACAUUAGUGUCAAUUUGUUACCCAAACUUUCAUUUCAGUCAAUUUAUUACCCUAACUUUCAUAAUUAGCCAAUUUGUUACUCUAACUAUUAUUCUGCCAAUUUGCUACCUUAGUGUCAAUUUGUUACCCAAACUUUCAUUUCAGUCAAUUUGUUACCCUAACUUUUCAUAAUUAGCCAAUUUGUUACUUUAACUAUUAUUACUACCAAUUUGCUACUUUAUAUUUUCAAAAUUAGCCAAUUUGCAACCAUUUUGUAUUUUUAUUUUGUUCAUUUCUUCAUGCAAACAUGCAAACAUGAAUUAAUUCUGAAAAUCAAAGGUUAAAGUUGGUCGAUAUUGAAAUUUUAAUAAAUAAAUUAGUUAAUCUUGAAAGCCUAAAGUAGCAAAUUUGAUGAAAGCGUAACAAAUUGGCAGAUUUAAUAAUUAGGGUAGCAAAUUGGCUAAUUAUGAAAAGCUAGGGUAGCAAAUUGGCGGAAAUGAAAGCUUGGGUAGCAAAAUGACACUAAUGUGAAAGUUAGGGUAUCAAAUUGGCAAUUAUGCCUAAAUUUAUAAGAAGAGAUGUUGUAUUUUUUUAUCAAAAAGCCCACCAUUUGUUAGAAGUAGGUUCAAAAUUGUCUUCCACUGCCUGCUUCUUCACCAAACAAUCAAUCCUAUCCUACAGAAGACGAAGCAAAGGAGUAAGAGUGUCAAAGCUGCUGGAUCAUGAGACAACGGCCAAUUCAUUGAUCAAAAAAUAUAGUUGAAGAAACUUGCCGGAAUAUCAUUUUAUGAAAGUGCUUCCGAAAUCAUGAAUUUCGUAACAGGGAAUAAGAUGCAGAAAUUAGCCAUUUCUAUGAUCUAGGUGUCCAUAAUAACCACCACAACAUGCAUGGUCCACAUGAAUAAAAGAGCUUUUCAAAUUCCAGGUGCAAUGGCCUGGACAUGAAAAUAGAUGAAAAGGAAAUUGCAAAGUGCUCUUAGUCAAGAGAAUCAAGAAACUGUAAAUAUUGCGAUGUAUUAACCUUCUCCAAUUAAGAAUGGAGUAUAUAUAAAAGGAUAUAGCAAUCCUAUUAGGAAACUAAUUACAAUAGGAUAUUACUUGAUACUCCUAAUAACACAAUAAUACACACAACCCUAGCAUCACACAGAAAUGACCCAUAUAUGUUGACACUCCUCCUUAAGUUGGCGCAUACAGAUUACAAAUGCUCGACUUGUCAAGCGAGUCAUAAAAUGCAUUACUCGAUAGCGCAUUUGUAAGGAUGUUUGCCAACUGCUCAUCGGUAGGAACGAAGGGAAACAUGAUCACUCGUGCAUUCAACUUCUCUUUAAUGAAAUGUCGAUCUACCUCCACAUGUUUCGUUCUAUCAUGCUGAACAUGAUUAUGAGCAAUUUCAAUUGCAGCCUUAUUAUCACAAUACAACGGCAUUGCCCUCCUCUGCUUAAACCCCAAAUCUCUCAAUAGAUGUCUCAACUACAACAUCUCACAAAGUCCUUGAGUCAUCCCUCUAUGUUCUGCUUCAGCGCUAGAACGAGCUACUACAUUUUGCUUCUUUCUCUUCCAAGUAACCAAGUUACCUCCUACAAAUGUGAAAUAGCCCGAAGUAGACCUACGGUCUGUAAUAUUACCUGCCUAAUCGGGAUCUGUGUAUUAAAAAACAUCCAAGUGAUUGUGUUUUGAAAAAAUUAAUCCUUUUUCCAGGAGCAGAUUUUAAAUACCGCAAAAUACUAAAUACAACAUCCAUAUGGGCCUCACUAGAAUUAUGCAUAAACUGACUCACGACACUAACAACAUAGGCUAAAUCUGGUCUUGAGUGAGACAAAUAAAUCAACCGGCCAACUAACCUCUGAUAUCACGCUUUAUUUGUAGGCACUUGAUCCAAAUACUCUGCUAACUGGUGGUUCUGUUCAAUAGGAGUAUCAGCCGGUUUACAGUCGAGCAUGCUUGUCUCUGCUAACAAGUCCAGGCCAUACUUCCUCUGACUUAGCACAAUACAAUCUUUCCCACGAGCAACUUCAAUUCCCAAAAAAUACUUCAAACUACCCAAAUCUUUCAUCUCAAAUUCAGAAGAUAACUGACUUUGUAACCUUUGAAUUUCUUCACUGUCAUCCCCUGUCACAACCAUAUCAUCCACAUGAAUAAUUAAAGUUGUCACCUUUCCACACCGAUGCUUAAGAAACAAAGUGUGAUCCGACUUACUCUGUCGAUACUCGAUCUUCUUCAUGAACAUAGAGAAUCGUCCAAACCACGCUCUAGGUGAUUGCUUUAGACCGUAGAGAGACUUUUUCAAUUUGUACACCACCUGUUCUCCGGUGGAAGUACCAUAUCCAGGAGGCAGAUCCAUAUAGACUUCUUCAUGCAAAUCACCAUGCAAGAAAGCAUUUUUAACAUCAAAUUGCUGCAAAGGCCAAUCAAGGUUAGCAGCUAGUGAUAAAAGUACUUGUAUUGUGUUAAUUUUGGUCACUGGUGCAAACGUUUCAUCAUAAUUCACCCCAUACUUCUGAGUAUAGCCUUUCGCAACUAACCUUGCCUUGUACCUAUCUACCGAACCAUCAGAAUUAUGUUUCAUAAUAUAAACCCAUCGACAACCAACUGGCUUCUUCCCAGGUGGUAAUGUCACUAAAUCCCACGUACAAUUUUUUUUCAAGAGCAUCCAUCUCAACUUUCAUUGCUUGCAUCCACCUUUCAUCCCGCAUUGCAUCCUGCACUUUACUAGGGAGAGACACAAUAGACAAUUGAUUCACACAUGCAACCUAUGGUUUAGACAACCUAUGGGUUGACACAUAAUUAGCAACAAGAUAUCUAGCUUUUGCACUUAGAGUAGGUUCAUAGUGUUUUAGAGGUUGACCACGAGUGACACGGUUAGGCAACUGUUUGGUAGGCAUAUUAACAGACAUAGAAGAAGAAUUAGAAGUUACCUCGGGUAAUGAUUGAGCAGGUGAGACUAAUGAAGCAGGCGAGGGAGAGACUACUGUUUCAGAAUAGUUACUGCUUUGAGACCAAUCAACUGGGUUCAGAAGAUCAAUGGAAUUUUGAGGCAAACUACUUUGCCUCCAAUUUCUACGAUUUUUUUCUACUUUGGCCUGAUUAGAUUCUUCUGCUUCAACACCUGACAAUCUCUUAUCUUUUCCUUCUUUAAUGAUUGGAUUAGUAAGAGCCGGACGACUGCCCAAAACACAAUCACCAUCAAUACCCAAUCUUCCUUUCCGAACAGAACUGUCGCCAUCGACGCAAGGAUUGGAUUCAAGGUCGGCCGACUGUUGUUGUGUCAGGCCGUCGUCCGCCAAUUUUCCCUUUGUUCGACCACAGCUCUCAUGCCUGGACUCCAUCAUCCGAUCGCCGCUCUCAUGUCUGGACUCCAUUGUCUGACUGUCGCUGAGAGGUGUCGUCCGAUCGUCAACAAAAGUAGGGCAACAAGUCGGUCGCCGCCUUCUGCCAUCGUCGCUUAGAACAACAAAAGUGGACGACGGGUCGUUGCAAUUAAGACGACCAGUUGGUUGGUCCUUGCCUUUAUUUCCAUGUUCUGUGUCCAAAUUUGUCCCUGUUGACUCCUCAGACACUUGGUUCUCAAUGAACAAAUCCUUAUAAUUUAUCCUUGUUGACUCCUCGGACACUUGGUUCUCAAUGAACAAAUCCUCAUAAUAAUAAGAUUUCUCCCCUUGAUGAGGUGUCGCAGAAGGCAAAAAAUAACACAUCUCCUCACUGAACGUAACAUCCAUAGUGACAUACAUCUUUUGGGAUGGAGGAUGAUAACACUUAUAACCUUUUUGGUGAGAACCAUACCCCACAAAAACACACUUAAGGGCUCUAGCAUCUAAUUUUGACCUUUGGUUUUUAUACUGAUGAACAUAAGCGACAUAACCGAAGACACGAGCAGGAAGAGUGUUUAACGAUGGAAUAGGAACGUAUUGAGACAAGACAUCAAGUGGAACACGACCUUGAAGAGGAGCUGCCGGAAGACGAUUGAUAAGAUGAGACACACACAACAUGGCCUCUCCCCAUAAGUACUUAGACAUGUUAACACUUAAGAGAAGAGACCGAGCCAUGUCCAAGAGAUGACGAUUCUUACGUUCAGACACCCCAUUUUGCUCGGGUGUCUAUGGACGCGAAGUUUGAUGUAUGAUUCCAUGGUGUUGAAAAUACUCAUGGAAAGAAUGAUUAACAAACUCUCCUCUAUUAUCUGAACGAAAGACUUUGACACGAGCAUCAUAUUGAGUACAAAUAACUUUAUGAAACGCCGUAAAGGCAGAAAACACAACAUCUUUUGACUUAAAUAAUACCACCCAAGACAAACGAGUAAAAUCAUCAAUGAAUAACACAAAGUAAUGCAUUCCUGAAAGAGUAGAAUUUUUGGAAGGACCCCAUAAAUCCGAAUGAAUCAAUUCAAAACGUAUAGUACUUGAAUGAAAACUCAAAGGAUAACUAGACCAAUGACUCUUAGCCAAAGCACAAGUCUCACAAUGCAGGCUAGACUCAUCAAUACCCAAAAACAAUGAAGGCAUGUUCUUUUUCAUAACUCCAAAAGACAGAUGGCCCAACCGUCUGUGCCAGAGCCAUAGCUCACUCAAUCGAUCAGAAAUUAAUGUCAGGGCCAAAGGCUGCUCCGGUGUUUGUAUCGACUCUGCGUACAUGCAAUCCAAGUGAAACAAUCUCCCUUGCCAAUGAUCACCCGGGUGCACAAAUUCUGAAACACAACAUACAUGGGAUAAAAGGUUACAGAGCACUUAUUUUGCGAACUCAACUGAGAAACAAACAAAAGAUGAUGGGACAACAUGGGUACAUAAAGCACGUCAUGUAAUACAAUGGAUGGUGUAACCUGACAGACCCAAUACCUAAAACUGAAAAAGAUGCACCAUUUGCCUUUGACACAUGAGAUAUAUAAGGGGAUGACAUAGACACAAAAAAUUAUUUAUCAUAGGUCAUAUGGUCGCACCGAAAUCAAUAAUCCAUGUGUCCCCACCAGUAAAGUCAGAAACAUGUAAAGCAACACCAAUUUUACCUCGAUUUUCCUUAGUCAAGGAAACAUUACCCUUUGUGAGAUCCUGCACUCCAAUGCCGUAAAAAUCAGGUUCCAGCACUAGUUGGACCGCUGCUUUGCCAUUUGGACCACCACCACUACCUCCACGUCCUCCACGUCCUCCGUUGUUAUUUCCUCCUCUCCAACCAGGAUUGUUGGAAUUGAACUUGCGGACCUUAUGACAUUGACUCCUGGUAUGGCCAACCUCCUGGCAAUAGUACCAAGUCACUUGGUUCACUACUGAAAAAAAACACUUAGGAGACGAAACUAUUUCGUCUCCUAAGUGACAAAUUUUGUCUCCUAAGUACUUAGGAGACGGAACGUCCGUCGGCUAAGAUCCGUCGCCAAAGUGUGGUAAGGUAGACAUUUAGGUGACUGAACCUAAAAUUUCGUCGUCUAAGUGGUUCUUAGGAGACGGAAUACUUUUGUCUCCUAAGCACUUAAGCGAUGAGUUUUAUUUUAUAAUAAAAAAAAUUAUCCACUUAGGAGACGGAAUAGUUGAAUUCCGUCGCUAAAGGUUGAAAAAAAUUAAAAAUAAAAACAUCACCACAAGUUUUUUAUCCAUUCACUCCGACCGCCCCAAAUACCACCACCACCACCGCAGGUUUCAGAAGUCACAACUAAAUGUCAUAAACUUCUUCUCAUCCUACAUAUAAGUAGUAAAAACUUGCAUUUAUAAACUGAAUAUGGAAAAAAUAAAAUUUACUGCCCCCCCCAGUAAACUUCUACUGGGGAUCAGUAAACUUGCAAAAAAUAACUCCCUUUCAAUUUCAUGGGCACAAUACAUAACAGAUACCAAUUCAUACCUUAAUAAACAACUUUAUUGGCCUCUAGUGAACCCAGUAGAAGUUUAUUGCCCUCUAGUAAACUUCUACUAAGGGUUAAUAAAAUUUAAUACAGUAUCUCCCUUUCAAUUUCAUGUCAAUUAUACACAACAGAUACUCAUUCUUACCCUUAUAAACAAAUUCAUUACUCCCUAGUAAACCCAGUGGAAGUUUACUGCCCCCAGUAAACUUCUACUGGGGGUCAGUAAACUUCAAUACAGUAUCUCUCUUUCAUAGUGAUUCAUAAUUUUUUUUUGUAAACAAAAACAUUUCGUCUCCUAAGUUCUACUUAGGCUACGGAAUGUAGUUCCGUCUCCUAAGUGAUUCAUAUAAAUUUUUUAAUUUUAUUUUUUCAAAAUGCCGUUGUUUAAGUAAAAAUAUUCCGUCUCCUAAGUAGUACUUAAGCGACGGAAUGAAAUUCAGUCUCCUAAGUCGUUCUUAGGAAAUAUUUCGUCUCCUAAGAACAAUUUAGAAGACGGAAACUGUUUCGUCGCCUAAGUAGAAAAUUCCGUCGCUUAAGUACCACUUAGGAGACGAAAUUUUUUUAAUUCCGUCGCCUAAGUGCUAUUUUCCAGUAGUGGUUAUAAUUCUGAUAUCUCGGAUUUCGUGGUUGAUACUGGUUUUGAGAUGGACUAGGGAUGGGUUCCCAAUCUGAGGUUGAGGUGACGGUGUAGCAUGGAUUGGUAGACAAGAAAUUUCAGUAUGAAGACCUUUUUGUGGCUAUUUUGUUAGCUUCAUCUCUUCGAAUAUAAUUAGCAAAAGCUUGCUCCAAUGUUGGUGGAGUAGCAAGACGCAAUAACUCAUUCUUUGGUACUUCAAAGUGAGGAUCCAAACCCGCAAGAAACACAUGAACAUGCAUCUUGUCUUGUUCAUUUCGAUAGGUAGUGAUAUCUGCUUCACAUGACAUAGGAUUGGGAUUUCUUUGAUCAAGCUCCUGCCAGAUUGUUUUCAAAUUUGCAUAGAACGUCGUCACAGGCUGUCCACUUUGUCACAGAUGGAAUGCUUUCACAUUUAAUUCAUGGACACAAGCAAAGUCAUUCCCAUCAUAAUAGGUAGCAGCAACCGAGUCCCAAAUUGCCUUGGGAGAAUCAAAAUUAGAAAACAACUGCAUGAUCUCCGGAGUCAUAACUUUGAGAAGAAUUCCCAUCACAUUAGUAUUUGUCGUAUCCCAUUCUUCAGCUUUUGGUUUAGUAACAGGUUUUACAGCACUACCAUCAACAUAGCUCCAUUUUCCCAUUCCCUUGAUAUGAAUCUUCAUAAGUCUUUCCACAACUGAUAGUUGGUGCCAUCAAGCUUGUCACCAAAACUAGAGUUGUUGGUCAGACAUUCUUCCUUCCUUUUUUUUUCUUUCAAACUAUUCAACUCACAAACGCGAACACACUUCCACAAUUAUUGAUCCAAGUCUCUGACCAUCUUGGACCAAUGUAACAAUCAAACACCACCUAAACCCAAUUAACAAGGUUUAGACCAAUAUGCUGAACUACCUUCACAAACUACAAACGACCUUCUACAAACGCCAACGAAUGAAACCACAACAACCAAAGAGAACCACAACGAGCAAAGAGAACCCUGUGACGAAAAGAAAAUCCCAUAACCAAAAAAGCCAAAUUCGCAGCGGAAAAUGAUAGAAGCACAAAGUGUUAUGUUUAUAAUGCAUUUCCGACCCUAUUUAGCUAUCACUACUGGAAAAAAGCACUUAGGAGACGAAAUUUCGUCUCCAAAGUACUUAAGAGACGGAACGUCGGUCGACUAAGAUCCGUCGCCUAACUGUGGUGAGGUAGACACUCACCACACUUAGGCGACGGAACCUAAAAUUCCGUCUCCUAAGUGAUUCUUAGGAGACGGAAUACGUUCGUCUCCUAAGCAUUUAGGCGACGGAUUUUAUUUUAUAAUAAAAAAAAUUAUCCACUCAGGAGACAGAAUAGUUGAAUUCCAUCGGUAAAUGCUGAAAAAAAAUUAAAAAAAUAAAAACGUCACCGCAGAUUUUUUAUCCACUCACUCUGACCGCCCCAAAUACCACCACCGCAGGUUUCAGAAGUCACAAAUAAAUGUCUUGAACUUCUUCUCAUCCUGCAUAUAAGUAGUAAAAACUUGCAUUUAUAAACUGCAUAUGGAAAAAAUAAAAUUUACUGCCCCCCAGUAAACUUCUACUAGGGAUUAGUAAACUUGCAAAAAUAACUCCCUUUCAAUUUCAGGGGCACAACACACAAUAUACCAAUUCUUACCUUAAUAAACAACUUUAUUGGCCCCUAGUGAACCCAGUAUAAGUUUACUGCCCCCUAGUAAACUUCUACUAGGGAUCAGUAAAAUUCAAUACAGUAUCUCCCUUUCAAUUUCAUGCCAAUUAUACACAACAGAUACAUAUUCUUACUCUAAUAAACAAAUUCAUUGCCCCCUAGUAAAGCCAGUGGAAGUUUACUGACCCCCAGUCCCAGUAAACUUCUACUAGGGGUCAGUAAACUUCAAUACAGUAUCUCCCUUUCAAUUUCAUGCCAACAAUCUGCCCCAAAUAUACCACCACCACCACUGUACCAAAUAACCACUAUGCCACCACCAUCAUACCAAUCACAUCCUAACCAAAAUUAAAAUCAAAAUCAAAUUAAACAAAAACACAUAAAUCUAUCACCAAAGCUCAUUAAACCAGAAAAAUUGAAGAACUUACCUUGAUUUCUUACCCCUUUGAAAUUUCGAGGGACGGUGGUGGGUCGGCGAGAAGGCUUGGUAGAGAGAGAAAGGUGGCGGCAGCGGUGUCUGUGGUGACCCAGAUCUAAGGCUUGGUGCAAGAAAAUGGGACGAGGAGCUUGCUGGCGGCGGGGACCGGUGAGUCGGGUCGGGUCGAGAGGGAGAGGUUGUUAGCUUUGAGGAGGGCGCGGAGGUGGCCGGGUGAUGUUGAAGAGGGUCUUGACGGCGUUGAGAGUGGUGGCGUUUGUGGGGACGAAGUCGAUGAGCGCGUGGCAUUUGGAGGUGGCGUUGGUGGGAGUGGUGCAGUUGAAGGUGGCGACGGAGGAAGGUGCGGUGAGAAUGGAGAGAGAGGCCGGCAUGAGAGAGAGAGAGAGGGAGCUGUAGGAAAAGAUGGGUUUCCUUCUAUUGACAAUGUUGGUGAGUGUGUGAUUUAAAAGAAUUGAUAUGUUUUGACAAAUUUUGGUUUGAAUUUUCAUGAAAUUUUACGCGGGAAGAUGGAUGCUCAAAUUUUUAGAACUUAAACGACAGAAUGUUCUAUUUCUGUCGUCUAAGUGAUUCAUAAUUUUUUUUUUAAAAAAAACAUUCCAUGUCCUAAGUAAACAUUUCCGUCUCCUAAGUUCUACUUAGGCUACAGAAUGUAGUUCUGUCUCCUAAGUGAUUCAUAUAAAUUUUUUAAUUUUUAUUUUUUAAAAUAUCGUCGUCUAAGUAAAAAUAUUUCGUCUCCUAAGUAGUACUCCUAAGUCGUUCUUAGGAGACGAAAUAGUCCUAAGAACAACUUAGGAGACGGAAACUGUUUUGUCACUUAAGUACCAUUUAGGAGACGGAAUUUUUUAAUUUCGUCGCCUAAAUGCUAUUUUCCAGUAGUGUAUGUAAUUCCUUUAACAAUAUUCAUAUUAACUAAGUUUGUAUUUUUAGGUCAUAAAUAAAGCCGAGGAGCCCAAAAGAGACGAAAGAGGAGAUAUCUUGAAGGAAAAAUAAUCCAUGUCAUGCAAGAAAAGAAAUCAGAAAAUCAGUCAGAAAUUAUCAGUCAAAUUCAACAGAAGAUUGUGAUUAGCUCACAACGAUCCACGAGAUGUGCCAUAUAUCAUUGGAAAGCUACAAGAGUCUACUUUCCAGACCUUUUUACGAUCAUCAAUACCUAUUUUGGAGAAGACGUUAUGACCGUUUGAGUGGUCGAAGGUUAGUCUGCCCUAAUUUCUGAUUUGGACCAAAAUUUCUAUUUCGAGGCUCAGACCAUAUUGGCAAGCCCGUAGAUGAGUUUUGAGGGUUUCUUAACCCUAACCACAACAGAAAAGAAGGGGAGAAUGUGAAGAUUAGAGGAGGCUAGCGAUCUCACAUCAUCAUAACCUCCAUAGUUGCAGACUCACAUAAGGAAGCCGCCAAGUCAUCAUUGAUCUCUCCAUCAUCCAUGGUUUAAUUAUCUUUUCUUUUUCAUCUUUUAUUCUUCUUGUGUGAUUUUGCAGCCAUGUGUGGCUGAAUUCUCUUAGUUAGGGGCAAGGUUUGAAGCCCCAAGAAUGUUUUAGAUCUUGUUUUGAACCUUGGUUUCGAAUUAUUGAGUCUUUCAAAUUGUUUAUUUGGUUUUGGUUUAUGGAGAACUCUUACUUGUUUAUGUUCAUGUAUACGCAACAUAGAAUAUUAUGAACUUGUGAGUGGGGCUAGAAUUAGGUUGUUUAAUCUCUUAAACGGUUAAUACGGCUUAGUUCAAAGUAGUAAAACCUAUAAGACAAUAGGUGAAACCAAAUAAAAAAGAUUACAUGCUAGGUAGGCGUUCCACACUAGUUUUGCAUACUUGUUCAAUCAAACUUUCAUUGAUCUUAAUGCUUAGAAUAAUUUGUUGAUAGGAUAGCGUCUAUACCUUGAUUGGUUAUUCUAAAGGCUUGGUAAUGAUGCAUUCAUCUUACUUAAGUAUUCAAGGGAAGUAAUAAGGACUUACGCAGUGCGUUCACGGUUUGUUCUUGAUUGAUACCGAUUUGCGACUUAGUAAUUGAAGCUUUGGUUGUUAACAUGUCUUGAAACAUACUUGGUGGUGGAUUUCUAAGUCUCUAAAGUCUCAUCCAUCUGAUCUUUUCUGCUUUAUUUUGUUUCUUUGUUUUCUCUUGUUUAUAAUCACAAAACCUCAUAUCUCUAGUACUAUUAUCUUUUGUUUUAUCUUGUUUUGUAAUUAACGUAAAUUGUAAAGGUACCCUCAAUCUCCGGUUUUUAUAAUGAUAACCUUAUUUGUUAUAUACUACAAUUGACACAAAAGAGUUUUUAAUUGAAACACCCGAUUUCGGUUGCUAUCAGAAAACAACCGAGUCCUAAAAGAUCUCGGCUCUGAUGCCAAGUCAAGAGAAUCAAGAAACUAUGAAUAUUGCGAUGUAUUAACCUUCUCCAAGAAUGGAUACUAUAUACAGGAUAUAGCAGUCCUAUUAGGAAACUAAUUACAAUAGGAUAUUACUUGAUACUCCUAAUAACACAAUAAUACACACAACCCUAGCAUCACACGGAAUUGACCCAUAUAUGUUGACACUCUUGACAAUUACAUUGUUGGUUACAGUAGGCCCUGCAUUAACACAAUGAGCUAGUCUAGUCACAACUUCAAUGCAACCAUAUUUCCUCAACUUGAGAUACUUUGAAUUGUAAGCAACCAUUUAUUCGACAUAUGAAUUUGAUACCUAAAUAAACUUGUUGAAUACUUGUUAAUUGAGAAGAAUUAACAAAGGUACGUGAUAUAUAUACUUCACCAAAUUCAAUAAUGAUGGUCCUAACUAAGAAAACUUGUUUCAGUUCAUUUCCGCUGUGUUAUAUGAAUCAGGAUUUUGGAAUGGAAGGCGUGCCAUGUAAACCUUUUUUUUUUUUUUUUUUUUCCGGUUACCAUUUCAAAAUCCCAAAGUGCGCAGUUUCUACCGUAUAGUAGAGGUUGUAGGAUAAAGGAUAAAUCAUGCUAAAGGGUAAUAUUGCAGCUGCAGGCUGUGCAGCGUCGAAUGAUCGAUGGCUUGAAAAGGGUGUGUGCUCGAUCGGCGGAUGUGUUCGAUAAUCCUCCAUCAUCGAUCCCUUUUAUGUAUCCUGCUGUUUGAUGCAGCAGCUCCCCCUCCUUGAAUAUUGGUUUAAUUUUUUAGUGCUCUUGUUUUCAGUUCUUGACUCUUGAGUUUUGUGUAAUCUGUCUCUUUAAUUGGUUGUUCUUCUUUGAUGUUCUUGCUCUUCUAAUGCUCUUCUAACCUGCUUUCAUCUUUUCUUCAAUGAUGUCUUCAAAUAAUACCAAAAAAGAAGAAGAAGAAGAAGAAGGGUGGAACAAAUACACAAGAUGAAUCCAAAUCAAGCAAUUACUAAUUAAGAUCUAAGAUCUAAAUCAUACAACCAUAGGAGACAUGCUGCAAAACUAGCUAGUAUUAGCAAAGGAUAAAAGGGGAUAUUUCAAGGAUUGCAAUCCUCAAUUCACAAGAGUAUAUACAUGGCUUGUUUCUAUUUUUAGUUAUAAAAGGGAAAAAUUUCCUAAUUUCCUAAUCCUCAAUCCAACGUUGGACUAGUGCUAGAUAGUUGGUAGAAGCUGACAACUUAAGUGAAAGGGAGAGCUUGUUGAUUUAUAUUCAUGAUCAAAAGGACAAGAGGAAUAUAAAUCGUGGAGCAAGAAAAGAAAACGAAUUAUCAUUUUGAGUAGUCCAAAGUCUACAAUCUAUGAAUUCCAAUCGACGAGUCAAUCCGAGUUGCCGAUCGAGUCAUAGACCGGGACGUCCACCUAAUUCGUAUCAUCUAGCUUUUACAUGCACACCGUCUGAAACAACUUCGCCAUGAAACUAUUGGAGACAAAAACCUUAUACAUACACAAGCGUACGUUAGACUAUUGGAGACAUCAACCUUCUACCACCACUACAAUUAUGAACCUUCUAAAUGAGUCCUUUGGCUUUAUUAUUUCAAUCCUUUCCAAAGAGUAAUUUCAUAUUAUGUAACUUGGAAUGUUAAUACAAUUCUAGACAAAAACAAUCAAAUUGAGUUGGACGGUCUUACCAUGUAUUGAUCCACCAAUUUAAAUGUCAAAAUAUAAAAAUUCACACGUAUAAAACCCUCUUUGCUUCUAAAUAAACCUAACAAUCGAACUGCAUGAGUAAAUACUAUUACCAUGCCAUAAAAUGAAGUUAUGUGUUCAUCAAAGAGGCUUGGUUAGCCAAAAUGAAUGCAAAAUUACCUAUAGAUCAUUACCUCCUAAUAAUUCAGAAUCUAAUUAGCUUCUGGUUAGCAGACUAGCAGUUACUAUAACUUCCAAUCCCGAUUGUGAUCAAAUGAUAAUUUCCCGAAUAAGAGAAGCAAAAUCAUAAUCACAUACCUUCAAUAGAAUUGAAUCCUCCAGCUAGCUUACCCUUUCCAUACUCCACGUUAAUAAUGGUACAUGAAUGGUGGUGGUCCUUAUCGACAAGUGAUUCUUUGUCAACCAUUUGGGGCUGCCAACACUUAUGUCUGCAUCUGUAAUGGAAAGAAAAGUAACACCCCAACUCACUAUAAAGCCAAGCCCCGAUAAGCAAUUCUAAAACCAGAUGAUCACCAUGGCUUCUCUAUCAUCUCCACUAGUCACCAAAACAACCAUUCCCACUUCAAAUUCCCUCUCAUCCCUCUCUCAGAACAGUUCCCACAUUUCCUUAGUCCAGAACUCUAAGCCUUCCUUCAUACGUAGUAGCAGGAUCAUAUGCAAAUGCACAAGCAGUAAUCAAAACCCUAGCGAUGAACAUAAACAUUCUCAUCAAACAAACCUAGACCGGAGAAAUGUGCUCAUUGGGCUGGGAGGUUUAUACGGAGUUGGUCUUGGCAGCGCCGACCCUUUCGCCUUUGCGAAGCCGGUGGCGCCACCAGACUUAUCCAAGUGCGGAGCAGCAGAUUUACCACCCGGUGCUACACCAAUAAAUUGCUGCCCACCAAUAUCUGACAAGAUAGUCGAUUUCACCUUCCCUUCCUCCUCUCCUCUCCGCGUCAGACCCGCAGCUCACGCCGUCGAUCAAGCCUACAUCGACAAAUACUCCAAGGCCAUUGAGCUCAUGAAAGCCCUCCCCGACUCCGAUCCACGCAGCUUUUCGCAACAAGCCGAUAUUCACUGCGCUUACUGCGACGGCGCUUAUGAUCAAGUCGGUUUUCCUGACCUCGAGCUUCAAAUCCACCAGUCAUGGCUCUUCUACCCCUUCCACAGAUACUACUUAUACUUCUACGAGAAAAUACUCGGAAAACUCAUCGACGACCCCACUUUCGCCUUGCCAUUUUGGAACUGGGACUCUCCUCCGGGGAUGAAGCUGCCAGCCCUAUUCGCAGACCCAAAAUCGCCGCUCUACAACGAGCUCCGAAACGCUAACCACCAGCCUCCGACGCUCCUCGACUUAGACUGGAACCUCACCGACACGCCGACGACCGAGGCUGAUCAAAUAUCGAGCAAUCUGAAGAUCAUGUACAGGCAGAUGGUGUCCAACGCCAAGAAGCAGCAGCUCUUCUUUGGAACAGCUUAUAGGGCUGGCACCGAUCCAUCUCCGGGUUCCGGCUCAAUCGAGUCAACUCCUCACGGACCUGUCCACGUAUGGACCGGUGAUAACACGCAACCUAACUACGAGGACAUGGGGAACUUCUACUCUGCAGCUAGAGACCCUAUUUUCUUCUCACAUCAUUCUAACGUUGAUAGGAUGUGGAGUGUAUGGAAAACUUUGGGUGCUACUAAUAAGGAUAUUACAGAUCCAGAUUGGUUGGACACAGGGUUUCUAUUUUACGACGAGAAUGCGCAACUAGUGCGCGUGAAGGUACGCGACUGCCUUGACUCCAAAAAGCUAGGGUAUGUGUAUCAAGACGUGGACAUUCCAUGGUUGACGUCCAAGCCAACACCGCGUAGGUCGAAGCUUGCGAAAACAGCUAAGGCAGUUGGGGUGGCGCGUGCAGCGACGUCCGGACCAAAGGUCGUAGGGAGAGGCGAUUUUCCCAUAAAGUUGGACUCGAAGAUUAGUACGGUGGUAAAGAGACCGAAGCAGAAGAAGAGGAGCAAGAAGGAGAAGGAGGACGAGGAGGAGAUACUAGUGAUCGGAGGGAUCGAAUUCGAGAAAGACACGGCAGUGAAGUUUGAUGUUUACGUGAAUGACUUGGAAGACGAUGAUGAGCCGGGGAAGCCCGACGACAGUGAGUUUGCGGGGAGCUUUGUGAACGUGCCCCACAAGCAUAAGGACAAGAAGAAGAAGAAGACCAAGAGUUGCCUGAGGUUGGGAUUAACGGACUUGCUGGAGGAUUUGGGGGCUGAAGAUGAUGAGAGUGUGGUGGUGACUUUGGUGCCGAGGUAUGGGACUAAGUCUCUCAAGAUUGACACUAUCAAAAUUGAGUUUCUUGCUGAUUAAGCAAGCCUAAUUUUGCUAUUUAUAUAUGUACGUAAACUGUGUAUGUCGUUCAUCUUUCAAUUUGGUGAUGAGUUUUGAACGUACGUACCAUUUGAAAGAUAAUGUUCUUCUUUACUUAUCAUCAACAAACAAAGAUACAUUUUUUAUUUUUGUAAAAAUGUUGUGAUACGGUGAAUUGGUGAUGGGGUUCCAUACGAUCGAUCAAGUUCCGAAAAAUAUCAUAAAGCUUGAUCAAGGUUUUGUUGGCUGCAUCUAUAAUCUUGACAACCAGUCCACUUGUUUAGAAUCUCAUCUUUUCUUUGGCUUUCUUUGUCACUCUUAUCCUUUUUUUGAUCGGGGAACCAAUCAAGGUGUUCAUGUCCUCCACUUGUUUGAUCCAAAACUCCCUAGAAAUCGAAUUGGAUAACGAAAACCGAAAAUAGACAAUAAAAAAAACAGAACAGUGAAAGAGACAGAUCAUGGUAAAGCCACCAACUUCUACCAGAAAAUGACUUCCCACUCUCCUUAUACAAAAAAAAAAAAAAAAUCCCACUCUUUUUAAAAAUCAAUUUCCACACGUCUGUGGUGUGUGUCUUGUGUAGUUGUGUUCCUUAUAGUCCCAAAUCGGCACAUCCUAUUCUGCCUUUACUAAGGAUGCUAAAUAAAUCUACACGUAAAGCCUUCUAUAAUAAUAUCAGCCUUCACUGAAGUCCCAAAAAAAAGAAGCAAGAACCCGGCAAGGCGCAUCAUCGUUUACAGACCAACAAAUUAGGAAUCGGCCUUUACUAAACUACCCCAAACAAAACAAGAACCUAGCAAGGCCUGUCAUGAUUUAUAGACUGCCAAAUCAGGUCUCAAGUUUAUCAACACUGAAACAUAUUCAACAGAACCUUGAAGGGAGGAAUAAGUAGAAAAUGCAGAGCUCAAGUUGAAUCCACAACACAAACAAUACAAAGAUCCUUAACAAUCCACAACACAGACAUACAAAGAUCAUGAAGUAAUAGUAUCUCGUAUUCUGAUUUACAUACUAAAGUAAAAAACCAACAGCACAGUAAUCAUCUGGUUUAACCAUGAUCAGGGAACAGUAGUAAUCAAUCCGCAACACAAACCAUACAAAGAUCAUGAAGUAAUAGUAUCUCAUAUGCUGAUUAGAUACUAAAGUAAUAAACCAACAGCACAGUAAUCAUCUGGUUUAAUCAUGAUCAGUGAACAGUAAUCAUGGUCCUAGAGGUUUUAAGUUGUGAUCUUCCUCGUUUGCUGUUGCUCCUUUGUUUGCUUAUGAACAAAAAAAAAUAAAAUCAAAUGGUUUAAUGCUUGCCUACUUUAAGUCUUCUUUACACUUGGUACUUCAGCUGCCACUUUAGACAUGAUCAUUCCCAGCCACUAUACACCCGUUUCCUUUUGCAACUGAAAAAGGAAAGAGCAGUCAGUUAAAAAAGGUACAAGCAUAGUAAUUAGCUUUUUAUAUGAAAUUCUUGUACACCACCAAAAUAUGUUCUGCAGUUUCAUUAUAGAUAUUUCCAGGUUAUAAGAAAACCAAAAAAAAAAGUAAAACCCCUUCUAUUAUAUACUAUAGGAGAGGCCUAUCAUAAAAUUAUCAGCCCUUGUAUUAUAUGCUAGGAGGCAUAUAGUGAAAUUAUGAUGACAUUCAGCUCCCUUCUUAUUAAAACAAAAAAAGAAAGAAAGGCAAUCCUUGUUUUGGCACAGGAUUGCCCAUUUUUAAUUCCAGGGUUUCUCUGAAUGUGAAACUUAUCACUUGGUAAGUUUCCAUACCAAGGCUCAAUCCAAUUAAGUCCAUAGCGUCUACCAAUUUCGCCAUAUCAUGGGGAUUGCCCCUAACACAACAUGUACAGGGAUACCACCAAGGCACCAACGUACUGAAAUGAACAAGAAAUCUCAUAAGCUUGGAAAGGCUGGAGCAGUUGCAUGCUGCUGUCACAGUGUCACUAGGUUUGACAGGUACCUCAUUAAAAUUGGGUAUUUUUAGUGUUAUGGUAAACCAUCCUCUCAAUACUAGUUUUGUGUUACCCUAAGGACUUCUACAUUGAGUUUCCAACUUCUAACUAUGGGGUGAACGAUGAGUAACAUGCUCAUCAAGGGAUGCUGCAUUAAGGGUGCUUACUCUCUGACAGUCCCUGCUCAAGCAAGCCUCUCAUCUCGCUCUCGAGGAUAUCAGACACAAGGUCAUCAACUCCUCCUCAAAAUCCAAGUCGCUUCCAGACUAGUAUGGCCAACAUAACGCUUAAGAGGGUGGACAAAAGUUAUGAUCUACAAAUUCUCUUGGAGCAUGGUAAAGCUAUGAUUAUAUUAACAUGAAACAUUGUAAAGCUAUGAUCUACAUAUUUUCUUAGCUACAUUCUUAGCUAUGGUCUACAUUCUUAGCUACAGGCAGCAAGAUUGUAUUAAAAGUGAAAAAACAUCGUAAAGCUAUUAUCUACAUAUUUUCUUGGAGCAAAUCUUGGUUACAUUUUCAGCAGUAGCAACGGUUUUGUUAAAAGUUCUUAGCUACAGGCAGCUUGAUUGUACUAACAAUGAAACAUCCUCAUGUUAUGAUCUACAUAUUUUCUUGGAGCGAAUCUUGGUCACAUAUUAUGCAGCAGCAACAGUUUAGAUCAACUAUGUUAAACAUAACAGGGUAAUCACAUGAUCUAACAAUAUCAAAGGCCAAAUAUCCAUGUAAAUUUGAUCUCAAAAUAUCAAAGAUUCUGAGAAAGAAAGAGUACCCUUGAGAGACGCUCUAGGCUUGCUCUUGCACGUUAGCCUCUCCCCAAAUCCAGUCGUGGCCAUCGUGAAGGAACUCGAAAAUGGAGAAGGCUUCUUGGCAGUGACGCAAGGCAAGGUGAAAGAGACCCAAUCCCAAUUGAAUUCGGGCCUGGGCUUCAGCAUGGAUUUGGGCCUUGACAAGAACCAGCAAAUAGCUAUGAAGGCCCACAAGAGCUGCGUUGAUCACGUCGUGUGCUUCGGCCACCGAUGCGAUCACAUCCGGAAAUGGCUCGAUCACCGGCGCCUGGAACAUCGGCUCGAUCGCAUUAAUGGCCAGUUGGAUUUGCCCAAGGCACAGUUGGAUCUGAAAUUGAGAUUCAUAAAUCCCCAUCAGAGCGCGCGUGAACCUCGCCGGCAGGCCCGGUAGGUUUCCGAUCAGCUGCCUGCCGUUAGAGACCCACUCCUGCCCCGCCACAAUUUCUUGCGUCGCGUGCUGCAACAUGUUGAGGAUCUGCAUUACCCGAUCUACCAGAUCUGCGUGAUCGACGCCGUCUCCACCUCCCUGACCGCCACCGCCGUCUCCACCUCCCUCACCUCCGCCGCCUCCACCACCCUGACCGACGCCGGGAAGGUUCUCUGCAACUUCUUCUUGAUCGUCGCCGAGGAAGAAGUCCAUUUUGCAGCUUUUGGAUUUUGAUUUCUUUGUUAGCAACAGUUUUUGGAAACCCUAAAGGUCAUAAAUGCUUAUAUCAUGACCCGGAUGGGACAACCUCGCUCUUUGGACCGGGUCCGGAGGCCCAACAAUUAAAGAAGCCCAGACAUCCUAGAUUUGGUUACCAAAAAAGGGGAAAAAAACUGUGUAUUUUGAAAAACCUUAUAAGCUCCAACUAGCCUUCCUGCACGCGCGAUCGCGUUUGCGAAAGGGCCGUUCUCACGUGUACGUUUAAUAUUGUUAUUCAUUGAUCAUCUCUGAUGGCUGAUAUUUACCUUGACAAAAUUAUAGAAGGUAUCUAGAUAAUAACGUAUCAUAAUUUUCAUUUUUUUUUCUUUCUCCUUAUCAAUUGCAUUGUGGGUGCAAUUAGCCUAUGGUAAAACAACUAAAAGCCAUAAUAUGUGCAAAAAUUGUCAAUAUGAACAAUGUAUCAACUAAAGGCUUAAACCUUGAUCACCACCUUCCGUUCCUUGCACGUUGACAAAGGCCUUCUAGCUUGAUGGCAAGGCUGCUCGUCUGUAACAUAAACAAAUCGAAAUCAAAUUUUUCGUCCAACUGGAAUCCCAAGCCUUCAAAUCUUUCCUAAAAAAAAGAAGACAUCAGAUUAUGUUGAAAGCAAUAAGCAGAGAGCAGAAGAUGAACAAUUCAGUUUUUCCUCUUUUUUCUUUUUCUUUUUUGAGGAUGUGAGCAGUUAGCAUACGUAAAGAAUAAGAAGAUAAGCUUGCAAAUGGUAAAGGUAGUGAUAAUGAACUGAACAACCUCAUUGGUUUGAAAUUUGAAACCUGAUCUCCUAUCCUUUAGUGUUUUAUCUUUAUUUUAUUUUGAUUUGGUAGAUUAGAUUUCAAAACCUUUAUUUUUUUUUCUAGUUUGAAAUCGUACAAAGACAAAGAUAUGAGAAGGUGAGGAACCUUUGGUUAUACCCUCAGUGAUGAACAUGGUCUGAGUGCUGCACGCAAAUGAAAACCUGAAAAAAGGAAAGAAGGAAAAAAUUUGGUUGAAGGUUAGAAAAAACGAAUUCUUGAUAUCAAGCACACCCAUUUGUUUCCCAUUAAAUUGUGCAUGAUAUUUUGUGUGUAAACAAACAGGAAAACAAAAAUCCCAGAAGUCAGUGUGUAAAACCAAUAAUUGAACAAAAGAAUAACAUGCUUAGUUAUCAAAUCUGGUAGCCUUCCCUCGAUCUCUCUCCUUUUGCAAUAUUAUUUUUGUUACAUAAGAUCAGCCUUCAUCCAUCAGAUUAUCGAGGAGAGAAGAAAUUUGUUACCUGAGAGGAAGGCAUGAGAGCAGUUUUGACAGAGAAGGAAGAGCAGUUUUGACAGAGAAGGAAGAGCAGUUUUAGCAAAUGUAAAAAGUGGAGAAGAUAUACUUGCACGUAAAUAGGAGGAAGAGACAGGUGCAGUUUCGUUUGAGAUACUGCUAAUCAACGCAUAACUGUUAUUUUGAAAUUUUAUCCAUGUAAUCCUUUUUAUUGAAUUUUGUCUUUUUUACCCUUCUUUUAUAUAUUUUUGAUUUGCUAUAGGGCAUUUAUGAGGAUUAAGAUAAAUUUAACCAUGGCAGUUCCAUAAGACAAGUUACUUUAAUUAAUAGAGAUAUCCUCUCUCCCAAAAUAUAAAAAGCCGCAAUUUUUUUUUUUUUGAAUAAUGAAUUGAUGACAACUUAAAAUCUUAUAACAAAUACAGAAGACAAUGCAAAUUUACAAACAGAUUAUUGCUACUCUGCCGGCGAGCGACUCUGAAAGUUAAAUGAUACGUACAAGGAAAUGUCCUUCUUGGUCGCGCACCCCUGGCCACCGAUAGAAUGGAAACACUUGCACCAAAUUUCAUGACCAAGAAACCUUCAGGUAUUCAUUCAACGCAUCCGUCAGAAAACCAGAUGUCCGGUAUCUGAAUGCAAUCCACCUGGGAAAUAAGUGAUCAAACAAAUGAAGCAAAAUUACCACGGAAACUACAAAGGUUUUCAAAUAUCAACAAGUAUGUACAAAAACUUAAAACUUCAAAGGUACAUAAAACAGAGUUCAGUUUGUAAACCUUUUGGAGGAGGUAUCCUUCUGUACUCAUUCAAAUCCAUGGUAUUCUGUACUUGCUGCACAAUAUAAAACCAGGUGGAGCACAAUGUCCCGGCUGGCUACUUUCUUAAGCCUGCAACUAUAAAAAAAACGAUAGGAUGUAUAAGACAGUAUCCAUGUAUUAACUAUACAGAUAAUGACAGAGUGAGACGGGGGCUAAGGACGACAUUAGGGGCACACACCAUCAGUCACCAUCUUAAACCAGUGAUAGAAAACAAAGCUAUGCUAGAAGAUUACCAUACAUCUUUUGGUGCAGUCACUAUCCCAUUGUUCUUGAGGCCACAAAUACUCAAUACUUUCAUCACUCCAGCAUGCCCCAAAAACAGCUCCAUGGUGUAUGCAUACUUGUCAUUCUUCAUCAAUUAAUCCAAAGUCCAACAAACAAUAGCUGAACUACUAACAUGUAAAUUGGUAAAGUGAAUUAAAUUAGUUUGCCUCGUAAUUACUGUAUCAGAACAAAAAAUAAAAAAUCCAAUAAUUUUUUGUUAAUGUUCAUAACGAGUGCCUCAAACUAAGACACCCAACUAGAUCGUGACUGAACUUGAAGUCAUUAGAUUAUUACCUAGACUGAUGCAUACUUGAUGUAAAACGGAUGUUUUCUGAGGAUACCAAGGUUUGGAUGUGCGGGGAAACAGAAUAUGGAUUUGACCUCAUCUUCCUCUCUGCAUCCCAAGCAUAGGGUUCUCUGAAAAGUAAGUCGUCCUCUCUCUUGAACAGACACCAUCAGACUGCAAAAACAAAAAAAAAAAACAAAAACAAAAAAAAAAAACUUGGGUCAUUUUAUAUUCAAAGAAUUGAAGAGUUGCUGUAAUUUAUUCAUUAUGAAUUUUUCAUUUACUAGGAAUGUUGAAAUCUUUGGAGGCUAUGAUAAAUUGAUAAGUGAAAAAAAAAAAAAAAAAACACAGACCUUGAUUUGUUAGUAUCUAAAAUGGAUUUCCUUUCUUCAUUAAAACUCGAAUCCAAGGGAAAGGAUCCUAAUCUUGUGGGGGGAUGCAUCUUCAUCAACCACUGAAAUCAUAUCCUGCCGCAGAAGAAAAUUCAGUCACAACUCAGCAAAGGAGUAGCAAUGUAAUGUCAAGCCCCAAUAAUAAAGAGGUGCAACAGCAUAACACAACUGGUGACAUUAAUACUAAUGACUCUGCUAUUAGAUGAAAGGUGUACAUUACAUAAUUUGUUAAAUUUUUAGAAUAAACAAGGGCGCUUGGAACAAACUUAGUGUAAAAUCUAGUACAUUCCAUAACAGAUGGCCGAUGAAACAAUAAAUGAAGCCUCUUAGUAAACACAAGAAAAGGUGUAACUAUAUUCGACUAUUUACUAAGUCCACAACUACUAUACUUCUUUGCAGAUAUAUUUCAGUCUGCCAUCAGAUGGAAAAAAAACUAUACAUAAUUCGAUGAAUAAAAGAGAAUCACAUUUCAACACCAACUUCCUAUAUUUUGUGUUAGAGAAAGAAAAAACUAACAUUUAAGAGUAUCUUGAAAAAUUAAUCAGUUAGAAAAAAGAUAAGAAAUAAGGCCAGGCACAUUUUGAACCCUGUUUUUUUAGCACAGAAAUGAUGUUCCAGAAAGGGGUGAUUUAGCUGUGUAUCAAAACAAUUUUUUAGCAUAAGAAAUAUCUACAGGAGCAAUUAUUCAUAAAUGAGGUAUGUAUCUGAUAGUCCAACUUCAUGUUACCCCUAUCUCAAAGAUAAGAACAAUUUGAGUUGUAUCUCCCAUAUAGUUAAGCAAAACCCAAAGAGCAACAAAACAUCAUCCUGGAAUAUGCUUGGUUGGAUAAAAGAAUUCCAAUUCCACUUGAAAAUUUAUCACGAAAUGAAAAGAAGAAAGAUACCGCCUAUAUUCCUAGCUUCUUAAAAAAAAAAAAAAAAACUUUGGUAUUAGGAUAGUAGGUUGUAACAGAGGCAUACCAAAUAUCCAAACAAAAGUCCACUCAUAUUUGGACACCAGUGGUGUAUAUAUAUUUCUUCCAAAAAAGUGUUGAAAACAUAAUACUUCUUCAAUGAAGCACGGGGCAACUCUCAUAACCAAAUCAUCAAGUAUUGCCUUAUUCUUACAAAUGUAACACUUCAAAUAAUUUGAAGAAAUAAAACAUUUGAGAUUCAAAUAUUAUUUUCAGUUUNNNNNNNNNNNNNNNNNNNNNNNNNNNNNNNNNNNNNNNNNNNNNNNNNNNNNNNNNNNNNNNNNNNNNNNNNNNNNNNNNNNNNNNNNNNNNNNNNNNNNNNNNNNNNNNNNNNNNNNNNNNNNNNNNNNNNNNNNNNNNNNNNNNNNNNNNNNNNNNNNNNNNNNNNNNNUUUUUUGUUUUUUUUUUUUUUGGUGAUGAACAAAUCCUCUUCGAAAUAUUACAGCUCAAAUUAGUUCCUUCAAAGAUAUCAUACAAAAACAUGCUACAUUUAACAUCUAUCUAAUACAUUCUGUAAUCAGAGAGUUACCAAUUCGGCACAGGUGCUUGGAAUGCACAGUUCUACCAAGAAUUAGUCUUGCAUGGGUAAUCCAGAUUGUUACAGCACAUUGUUGCUUUCUCAAGUCUUCCACACCUUAAUGGUGCCAUCUACGGAAGAACUAAUCAUGCAGUUGUCCUUAGGGUGAUAACUGACACUUGUUACCACUGAUGAGUGUGCCCGGAUACUUGAUACAACAGAUGCUUCUACUAGAUCCCAGAAGAAGAUCGAACCAUCCUCAGAUCCUCUGAUUACAUGGGCAUCAGAGUUGGUAAGGCAGCAGUCCAAUUUGUAAGACUUACAAGUAUGGCCUUUAUAUUCUUGAAGCAAUUCAGCAGAAGUCCUGUCGAGGAGACGUAUAGUUGAAUCUAAGCAGCUUGCUAAUAUGCAGUUACCAUCAUUUGACAUAGAUAUACAGUUCACAGGUUGUCCCAAGUCAUCGGAUAGUUCUCUUCCCAUACGAAUGUCAAAUGUGCGAACAGUUCCAUCAACACUUCCACCAAUAAUCUCAGUCUUUGUUAAACAAACAGACAUUACACUAUCCGUAAAUGAGUCAAUUAUCUGAAUAGGCUCAGUACUGUGAGAUCUGCAGUCCCAAGCACGCAAUGACUGAUCAUAUCCAGCUGAGACUACAACAGAUGCAUACUCGUUGAACUUCACAGCAUUCACACCUCCAUCAUGGCCUCGAAAUUUUCAAAUGACUCGACCGGAUGCCACAUCCCAAUAGAAGAUUUGUCUGUCACCACCACCUGAACAUAAUUUGGAGUUGUCUGAGGUGACAUGGACAUCACGGACUUCACGGCCAUGGGACUUGUAGGUUUUAAUGUGGAUGCCACGGUGAGGGUUCCACAGUCGGAUGGUUCGGUCUUUCCCACAGCUGAGGCAGUAAUUCCCGUCUUUAUUGAACCUCGCUGCUAAUAUUGCUCCCUCAUGCCCUUUAAGUACAUUUCCCUCCUUCUUUGGCAGAUCUGAGACACUCAUAUCCUUCCUACUUGCUCUCCGCUCACUGCUUGUUGAGCAGGCCACCUGGCAAUCUUCUGUAAAGUUCCCUUCUGGGUUUAAUAAAUCAGUUAAUUCAAGUUGGAGAUGGGAAAGAGAAAGACUGUGACUAUGGGAAAGACUAUGUGACUGCUCAGCGGAAAGAAACAAACUUUUUCUAUACUAGUGAAGAACAUAUAUAUUUAAAAUAAAGAAGAUCAUAUGAAAUUGUAUGGUGAUAGUUCUGUUGCAUUUGAGGUGAUGAAGCCACCUAUGUUCAGAUAACCAUUAUCGAGUCAAAUAAUAACCAUCUCAAACUUCCAAGGGAAACACAUCUAGAAAGAGAAAUUAAAAGCAGCGCAAAGAUGAAUUUUCACCCUAGCUUGCGGCCAUUUGGAUAAAAACAAAAGAAUUCAGUAGUUUGGGAUUUGAUCCAUCCAGAAUUUAGAAAAAUCAAACUUAAGAACCCGAAAUAACUUGUCAAACAUGUUUAUAUCAAAUCUUAUCUUGAUAUAACUAUUAUAAACACAAGACACCAUCUCAGGUAGAGCAUUCUGUUUCAGCAAAACAUUUAUCUGUCUCCUAUCAAUGCUCUAUAAUUCCUGAUCCUUAAAAUCUAAAUUCAAAUAUUUAAAUGCAUUGUUUAUACUCUUAGAUCGCAUCCAGAGGGCCUAAAGUUAAAUGCUUAGGUAAGAUCUGCAACGAGGGAUUGACAAGCAACCGCAUAUAUUCUCAGACCAACUCAUAAAACUAAACCGAGGCUAUGUUUGAAAUCGAAAACCAGAGCUUCAGUUGAUCUAAGAGUACCAGAUAUGAAAAUAAAUAAAAUAAAAUAAAAAUACAGAUCAAAUUGAGCAUACCAAUGAAUGUAAGAUAGAGAUAGGAUCUGGGUCGAAAGCCAAGCUCACAAAGAAGAUGAAAAUCGCCAGAGAGAUUAGGCUAACCUAUUUUCUUCUUCUGUUUUCUCUUUUGUUACAAGGUUGUAGGCCUAGUUUCGUUUCUAAGCCUAGUUUCGUUUUGUCCCGAAAACCCCUCGAGUUGAGCUUUUUAUAGCAUCGGUGAUUCGGGCUCUUUUUAUUUUUAUUUUUAUGUUUUGUCAUGUAAUUUUCUGUUUUACCCCUCUAAUUCUGUUUGCACUUUGCAGCUCCACCAUUAUCAGCCCUUCUCGUCCUGCUCCUCCCAGUGCUCCUUCAAGAACGCCAUACAACUAGCUCCACCUGCAAUAGUAUUCAUCCUCCUUCUCAGAUGUCCUUUCUUUAAAGCAACUGCUUAUACCCUAGAGAGUGAUCAUAAGUACUCAGCUCAGCAAAUUAUGUUUAACCAUUUAGUGUAAACUAUACAUUAAAGACUGAGAAUUUUCAAAUAGUAAGAUUGCAUGCUCUUGGAACCUUGAUAUUAGAUUGCUUCUUUUUGUUUAUCUAUUCUACUUUUGAUCGAUUUGGAUUUUAAGCCAUUUGAUCUUGGAUGUUCUUUUUUUUUUAUAUAAAAUUUGAUCUUGGAUGUUGCAACUGGAUGCUUAACUGAUUAAUUGAACUUCUUGUACUUCUUGCAGAUUAUAAUCUGUUUUGAUUUAGCCUCAGUUAACAUCAAGGAUAUAAGAACUUCCCCUAUAGCACAAUUGUUUUUUUCUUUGAUAUUCUUCGAUAUUUUAUGUUGGGUUCUUAUCAUUAUGCUUUUUGUUUUGCUCAACAGGUAGUAAAUAAACUGGACUGAUGAGGAAUGGUUCAGAAGUUCAGACAUUGCAUGUCGAUAUGUAGAACAUUAAGGGUCAAGUGAAAGGUAUAUAUACUCCCUUUCGAAAUCAAAAAUUGUUAAACUUACAUGGAUCUGUUAUUAUACUUUGUUCCUGAACUACAUAUCAGGUGCAUUUGCAUAUCCCGACUAUCUGCGUGUGAGGUCCUCAUAACCAAUCCUUAGGGAAACAAGUUAGAUAGAAAGGGUAUAGGUUCUAGGCGCCAAUAGUACUCCAAGUGAUUGUGUGAGCACCUGCAGAUGAAUUUGAUCUUCUGUAAAAUGAAUGAGGCAUAGAUCUCAUUUUUGUACUUUAUUUCUUCGGAGACAAGUAAUGCAGUACCAUACUCUGUUUUCAGGAAUUUGUUUGGUUUUGGUUACGGUUAUGCUUAACAAAUAUACUUGAAAUGCUACCAUAACUAAAUUUCAUCUAAUCUUUUGUUUUCUAUUAUGUCAGACAGAUGUCAAAGACUAAUCAUGCUUCAAAGGCAGCAGUGGUAAUUUUCGUAUUGUAAAUGUGCAGUUAUAAAUAAUCCAGCCAAAGUAAUAGGAAUUAGACCCAAGACAAUUCCAAAUAGAAAAACUUCAAUCAUUUCAAUUUGUUUGAGAGGGGAGGGGAGAGGUAAUAUCUACGCUUAAAUAGUAAUACGUAUCAACUCUAAAUCUCAAUGACCAAAAAUUGGCAAUAGGCGAAAGCCUGCACAAACAUCAUUUCCUGGAGAAGAAGCUAAUUUUCCUUCAAGUGCAUGCUUCUGUAUAUUCAGUAAAAUAGUAAAAUGAUUGUCUUAACAUGCUUCAAGUUAUUUCAUCCAAGUAAUAGUAACUAAACUUACAAAAAUAAAACGAGACUGAACUUCCUGUUAUUUAGGAACAGAGUACAGACUCCUUUUCUCCUCGCCUGUUUAUGUGAAAAUGCCUGUAAUAGUAUGAUGUACUUUCACAGAUCAGAUUUUGUAACAUGUGCGGAUGUGCUUAAAACAACUUGAGCUGUGCAUAUGCAGCGGCUUCAACUCUUGCCCGAUUACUAUUGCACAACAUCGCGAUCAUAAUCAUAGUGAAGAUCAUCCCAGAUAAACCUAUCAGAAAAUGUAAUAAUUAAGAACUUGCUGUAUAUUGCAUCAACUCUAGGUUACUAUAGAAACAUAUAUAUAUAUAUAUAUAUAUAUAACAAAAAUAUGAUAUCAAAAGUUAUAUCCAAAUCCUUUUAUUAGAUGAGAGUUAACAAACUAAAGCAAUCUGAUUCUUUAAAACCAUUUAAUAAGAAAUGAACUCCAAACCCGGGUAAGUGUCCCAUUUCUUCUUCACUUAUUUCUCAAUUAUGAUGACAAGCUAUCUAGAAGCUGCCUAUUAUAUGACAUAUCAUGAAAUUCGUAUUGUCAAAAGAAGCGGUCUAACUUUCAAGAUUUGAACUCCUUCACCCAAAUGCUAUAUUGUAUACCACCACUAAAGUUAUAAAGAAAAUUUAUAAGCUGGGCAAGACUAGACUGGUGCCUCACUCUAGCUCUAACUGAGUUUGACUGGUUAGUAUCUCACUCAAUCAACUUGGCUUAUUAUGAUGACUAUCAAGGAAUGCUGCAUUGAGGGUAAUAUCAAUCUCAAGUUCACUGAUACCUUGGCAAAGUUGAGGCAUUGUUUAUGGGUUCUUUUAACAAUCUAAGAUUACGCUAAUCGAUCAACCAAGAUUAUAUCAACAGUGAAACAAGGUAAUUCUACUAUGUAAAUCUUGAACUUGAUCUCUGAAAAGGAAAUGAAUGAAAGAAAUAGAGAGAAGGAAUAUAUAGUACCCCUGAGGUUCGAGGCUGCGGAGAAUGGUAAUGUUUGUUUGAAACUCAAGCAAUGCCAUAUUGAGGUGAGCCAAUCCAAGUUGAAUCCGGUAGUAUACGCCGCCUAGUGUUUCGCGGCGACCGAAGGAAUUAUGCACCACAAAACCGUGGAUGGCCAACGCCGACGAGCCCAUCAUUCUCAUUGCGACGGUGAUCACCCGAAUCUGCGCCGGAAAGUUUGGGCGGACGUCCGGUUGGGUUGGGAUGAAAAAGUUGAUAUCAUCCACGGCGCCUCGGAUUCUGAUCCCCGACUGCUCAAUGGAGCCCAUACAGGCACGAAUCGCGGCCAAAGUCACCGGCUGAUUGAUGUCGAUGUUGGCUCCGUGAAGCGGUUCGGCUUCAAGAUGAUUCACGCCGUCAGCGAUCAUCUGCAGCGACUCCGCUAGUAGUUCCAGGGCGGCCCGGAACCCUUGCAACCCGACAUUGACUCUCUCGUGAAGGUUUUGGUUUUGGUUCAUGCUGGAGGUUUUGGUUUCUUGAUUGCUCUGGGUUUCUCUCAGAAAACAAAGAAAGCUAACAGAAUUUGGGGGAAAGGGGGAAAUCCUUGCUUCGUAAAUUUGCACCGGGUAUUCCAAGGCCCAACAACAAAACCCUAACUUUGAUGGCACGGUCAAAGUGGUACCUAUACUUUAAAAAUUAUCAAUGUGGUACCCAAACUUCUAUUUCGCUACCAAGGAAAGGCUUGAGGCCAAUUUCCGUAACUGUGCCGUUAGUUUGCUGAUGUGGCCGACAUAGGGCCCACCAAAAAAAGGUGCAAUGACAAAAAUAACCUUCUAACUCUCACCAAAACCGUUUUUCUUCUAUAAGCUUUAAAUUUGAAUUUUCCUGGGUAUCACAUUGAUCAGUUCAGAAAAGUUUAGGCACUGCUGCUGUGUUUAUCUGCUGAUAAGAAAUAUUAUGCAAUAGCUAGAAAUGUAACAUAGAAAUUCAAACAUAGAACUAAAAAGGGCUGUCAAUAUCACUGAAUUAAAACCAACAUCAACAUGAGAAACAUACUAUACAUCAUAAUUCAAGCUUAAUUGGUUUCCAAAAACUCAAGGAACCACAUUGUUUGCAAAAAAUUGAUUCCAAACCAUGAUGAAGUACACAUUAUGUUUCUCUAAUUUAAAAGCCAACACAUUCACUAUGUAGAACCCCUUGCUGUAUGAUUUUGGCUGUUUUGAGUAGGAGGCUGUGUUGAAGCUGAUGCACUACCAUUUCCAGCAGAACUACCCUCCAUUGCUAACUUCAUUUUCUUCCAUCCCGUUUUAGACUUUAUGGCCUGGUCUUUAAUAGGUCUUGAUUUCUUGGGUGGGCCUGGUGCCCUUUGGACCUGUGGAACACAAACAAGACAUUUCCAACACAAUUCAACAACCAUUUUUAGCUUCACACUUCAAUAAGACAUUUCCAACACAAUGCAACAACAACAUUAUUUUCAACAGUUAACAAAACAUUUCAGCAAUAGUUGACUUCACAACAAGAACAACAAUCAACAAUCAACAAUCACCACCUGAUACAUACCUUUGCUAAGAUGUCUAGACUCAACUAUACAAAAGAUUACUCCUAAAAUCACUAAAUAUCCAUAAGUCCACCCAUUCCUUUACCCAUGAUGCAUAGCAUGCUAUAUGCAGACAUGCAUACUAAUAUGAAUCAACACAUAUCUUGUACAUGGAAUCAAAAUAUCAUCAAUGAAAUCAAGACAAACAGUGUUAACUAAAAUGACAUAACAACUAAGCACACAAAAUCAGUAUCCAAUCAUAAAAAGUUCUCCCCAAGGUCCCCCUACCUUUGUCAAUUCUCACAGUAAGUUCCUGACCAAGACAACAAGUACUUUUUAGUAAUGCAACUCAUUAGUUCCAGUACUCUAAAUAUAAAGUAUUUAACUGAUAAAACACCCAAACAAACAUGACAAGUCAGUUGAUCCGAAAACAAGUUUACUGAACACAAAGAACUACUGCAGUUUUCUGACCCAGUCAUCUUCACCACAAAAACUGUACAAAUCCAUAAGGAAUUUGACUUCAUGGCCUUCUAAAGAAAUAAACUAGACAUCUUAGAGAAGCUUUCAGAAUUUGAAUCACCUCAAAAAAAAAUUUCUGUAAUUAGAUAUGCAAUUUCAAAGUUCAGUAACAGUUUCAGGUUUUUCUGGAAAUUUUGCUAAAAGUGUCUAAACUUUGUUUUCAAAAACAAAACAGAAGAUCUAUGUGAUACAAAACUUCUAGGAACUGAACAUAAACACUCCAAUGUUUCAAAAAGAAGGAAAAAGAUACAAAACUUGCAACUUACAGACUAACUAAGAUCACCACAAAGAUAGCUAACAAAAUGUAAUAUACAACAGUCUUAACUUCUAAAAUUUCAGCAAAUUUAAAUCUAAAAUCAUGGUUUCUACUUUCAAUAGUAGAAACUAAUAACAUGUAUAAGAACCUCAUAAUCUAAUCAUUACAUAUGUACAAUCUCAUAUCAAAACAACAAAGAUUCAAAAACAAAGAGUACAAUUAAAAACAGAAAUCUGAAAUCACAAAACAACUUCCUAACUUUCUGACCAGUAAACUUUAUGGCUAAAAACGACACAGCUUGACUGGGAAUUUACAGUUGGUGUCUUCAUAACAAUUGUAAAAGACAACCUAAAGAUCAAUCAGGAACUGGAAUCGCAGCAAAAGGAAUUUUUUACAAAUACUUAUGAUUUUUGGAAGUUGUAGACCUGCAUCAGGAAAAUUACUGAUUUUGACUCAAAUCAGUUUUUGUUUACAAACUGACUAAGAACCUAACCAAAUAGCUGAAAUUCACAAAAUUGAUCAUCUAUUUCAGCACUACACGGACAAUUACACAACUCGUAGUUAUCAAAUCACGUCCAAAUUGAAGCAAACAAAGUUAGGGUAUUGAAAAUUGGUAUUACCUUCAGAUCCGAAAGAAGAUUUGAAGCUAUAUCGAAAUCAUUAUAGAUCAACGCCGCUUUGAAUCGCCCGAAGUUCUGAGUCAGCUAGUUCAGCUUCGCCUCCAUUCUCGUCUAAUUUGCUUCCCUCUCUGGUUUUCCCUUUCGCUUUUCUCACUCUGCAAAUCACUCCUGGGUCUUUCAAUUUGGAGACGAACAAGAGGACAGAGUUUGUGGCCGACUAGAGAGAAGAGAAGAGGGAGAUUGGGGGGUCUCUUUGGGUACGAAUAUGGAGGAGAUGGUGGACUGCGGAAUUUCGAUAGAUCGAUCGAGGUUUAAGUUUGAGAGAGAAUGAAGGGGAUGUAGGUGUUUGGGAUCUAGGUUUUCAAGAGAAAAAGUGAUGAACAUGCAGGUGCGAUUUAGAUUAGGUUUCAGAGAAGAGAAGAGAAAAGGGAGUUUGGGAGGAGAUGGGGGAGGGAAAUCGAGUUUUGACUUGAUUUGGGUGUAGGCUGUGUAAAAUGUCGUUUUUGCCCUUUUUUUGGUAGACCCGAUGCUGGCCACGUCAGCAAACAGACGACACCGUGACAAAAAUUGGCCUUAGGCCUUUCCUUGGUAGCAAAAACAAAGUUUAGGUACCACAUUGAUAGUUUUUAAAGUCUGGGUACCACUAUGACCGUGCCACAAAAGUUGGGGUACCGGUGAUGUCAAAACUUCUUUUAACUACAACUCAUCUAAAUGGAACGCUCGUGACAUAGAUAUGGGAAGACAAUUGAACCAAACAGAAUGACUAUCUCAAUUAUGACCGAGGUUAGCUAAGCUAUCUGCUACAAAAUUCACUUCACAAAAUACAUGUCGAAAUCGAAUAAAAUGAAAGUAUUGGGAGAGAAGUCUGAUAUCAUUAACUAACAGCUUGAUUCUCUAAGGGAUAGAAAUCUUGUUAUGAAGACAAUCGAUUGAAUCACCUUCAACCAAAUGUACUUAUGAUGGUUAAGAAGAGCAAAGCUAAAAGGGUGCUGCUAAAUGUACCUAACAAAUUACUGAGUAGAUCGAGCAAAACAAUUUUGUUUGGAAAAUAAUUUUAUCCUAAAGUGUAAUGACGUUAAUAGUCAUGAUAAUUAAAAUAAUAACAAAAAAUUCAAAUGCCCUUGUACCCAGCAAUUUAACAUGAAUAUGUUGUUCGUUCCGGUAAAAUCUAUAACCCGGAAGUUGUUCACUUUUUUGUCGUAAUACACAUGAUAUUGACAAAAUUCUAAGUGCAAAUAUAGUUUCGGAUGCUUCAUGCUUCUACUAUAGUAUGUUCAUUUUUAAUGUCAUUGAAAUAACUCAAUAGUAGUGUUGUAGUUUAGCGUAUUCCCGAUCUUCCUUCGUUCGAACUUUGUUCAGACAACAAGCACUAGAAAAAUAUUACGUAUUCGGCAAAUGGGACUACAAUUUGGCCGACAACCACCGAAUGGGACUAACUAUCAUCAUGGUUCAACAGCCCCCUUCCAUUGAGGGAUCCCUAUUUUUGGUCACUUUUUAGGGAUAGGGCAUUACACCACUUCCCAAUUGAAUUUUUACAUCUCCACCGUUCAUAUCUUAGGUCUAUAUGAGUAGAUCACCUCUACAAAAUUUCAUAUGAUUUGGUGAUCGUUAAGACUUUCAAAAGUUUGAUUUAGUUUUAAUGAUUUUGAACGGUCCAGCUUAUGUCAAACUAAAACCGUUGAAGGUCAUUAAAACUAAAUUGAACUUUUGAAAGCCUUAACGAUCACCAAAUCAUAUGAAAUUUUGUAGAGGUGAUCUACUCAUAUAGACCUAAGAUAUGAACGGUGGAGAUGUAAAAUUAUAAUCGGGAAGUUAGUGUAAUGCCCUAUCCCUAUAAAUGGCUUAAAAUAGGGAUCCCUCAUUGGAAGGGCCCUGCAUGGUUCAAUAUGAUUAAUUGCUUCAAAUUGCUUCAACUUAUGCUAGCGUGAUUUCUUCAGGUCUCUCUCUCUCUCUUUUGUCUCUAUCUCUCCCAGACUCUCAAUCAAACCAAAUCAAAUGCUUAAGUUUGAGUACAGUUUUUCAAAUUUUUAUGGUACAUGGAAUUUCUAUGUAGAGAACGCGGUCAUUGAGUCCACCUUUGGCUAUUCUUUGUCUAUGGUGAUUAUUUUGGAACAACAUGGCAAGAGAUCUGUCAUAACAUUGAGUUUUAUCAUUCAAAACAAUAAGCACGGGCAUGGAGGUAAAGAAAUGUGGAGUAUAUACAAGCAAGAUUUGAUUGGAAUGAAAAGAUGAUUCCAACUUCCAAGCAAAUUUUGGUUCUUGCUUGUUUGUUUGUUUGGGCCUUUGGCCCCCAUUUAUCCAAAAAAAUAUAUAUAUUUGUUUCUUGUGGUAGAGAUAAUCAUUUUGAUAUGAUAUGCAGAAAAUUUGUCAUUGUUAAACAAUGCAUUUUAUCUCGAGCAAACCAGUAAAAAAAAGGUGGCUUUCGCUGAGUGUGAGAAAUAGAGAGUGGGUUUUGCUUGUUGUGACUUGUGAGUUUGAGUGGGAGUUUUGCUAGAUUUAAUAAAAAAAUGGUAUUAUUGGAAAGUUGUUGAGUGUAGUUAGAAAUUUUAUAAUAUUGCUAGGUUUAUGAAGUUUGUUGGGUCUACUUAGCAAAUGUGAUGGGUACAUUUAGCAGCACCCAAGCUAAAACCAUCUCUCAGAGCAGUUGAUGAUAGUCGCAUAUUUGUGCGACUUUUAUCAUGCUAAUUAUUCUUAUUACUUAGUUAUUUUGUGAUGUUUUCCUAUUUUUAAUUAACUUUAUUUGUUUUUAGGUGUUUUAAAGUCAAACAAAGAAAAGGAGCUAAUUGGGCUUAAUUAGGAUCCCUAAUCCUAGUUGGACUGGUGAUGGACGUGACAAAUAGGUUCACUAACCUAUUUAUACAAGGGAGCAGCCAAACAAGAAAGGGGGAACGGAACNNNN